Molecule: long non-coding RNA, 64679 nt
Filed under: Malus domestica (apple)
Lineage: Eukaryota; Viridiplantae; Streptophyta; Magnoliopsida; Rosales; Rosaceae
Description: long non-coding RNA (MDOM_LNC007973)
Source: RNAcentral
UUUUUUUUUUUUUGGGUAAAGAAAAGCUUCAUUUCAAAAAGGCCACUCCCAAUAACAAAAGUACGAGUAAUGUUAUGAAGGCUAAAUUUUAUCGAUCAAAUUUGAAAAUUAAAUGAUGCGUCACCAAUAAAAAAUAAACACGUUAAUCGUCAUUUAAUAAAUAAUUCAAUCAUCUACAACCACAUUAUUUCGUUUACAAAUUUGAUUUGUAAAUUUGAUCUUCCUAGCAUUAUCUAAAAAAUAUGGAACAGGGAAAAACCAUACACAGACUUGAGAUACAACCCACCAACUUCGACGGUAAACUAACAUACCUGAAACCUCCAAAAUACUGAACAGAGGAGAGCAGUCCUAGACCCUCAAAGUCAAAAAAAAACUAGAACAAAACCAGCAAUUCUUCACACAUUAGCAAGGCGGUGGAGAAGGCAUGCCGUCGAGAGAAAAAACACGAGGGAGGUUGGGGUCAGAUGACUCAAGUGUAGCGAUGCCACGCAAUCAGGUACUUGGUUGGCUUCGCUGGGAAACCAAGACAACCGAAGAUAGGAACAGGAAGCUUUCAUAUGCCUUCUCUCUCUCAGAAUUGCAUAAUUCAUCCACUGGGGAAAAUGCCUAGUAUCAUUCAUGGUUGGUAUAAUUCUACAAGUCUCUUUAUGAAUGCAUAAGAUAAAGAAAUUUUCAGUCAUGGGGUACCCAUGCCUCGGGAGCUUUCAUUAAUUAUUUUGUAAGAUGUUCAUAUCUUCUAAUAAUAAUUACAUAAAGGAUGUGGAUAUUUCAAUAUAGUCUCCACAUCUAAGAAGAUUAAAUUUGGAUCCUAUGUGAUUGUACACAGUCAAAUGCAGAAAUCUCUUUUCCUUUCUCUCUCAUCUCUCCUUCUGAUAUGUCAUUUCUUCUUGCUAUUUUGUUAAGAACUCUAAGUAGUACGAUCACAAGCUCAUAGUCUAGCUCUUUGACUUGCCAUUGACUGAACAGUUCUAUACUCUAAGCAGAACAAAGAAUAUGCGAGUCUACCGUAAGAAGAGUUCGAUUAAUAAUUAGUUAUUCAAUUUCUAAAAAAUAAAAACAGAUCAUUACUUAUUUCUCUUCCAACAAUUACAACAAAAACACCAGUAAAUUAGCUUAAGAGGUAACUGGAUAUUAUUAAUCACUUCGUACAUUGAACAAAAUCAAUCAAAUAUAAUUGAAAUACUUAAUUGAUUUUAGCUCGAUAAGUCAUUGAAGCAUCUUAACAUUGGAAAACCAAAGAUAAACAUCACACAUAUUACAUCAAGAGGAAAAAAAUACAUAAAAUUACAUGGCAUGAAGAAUUUAAUUUCAGCGUAUUCUUUUGUCAAACUUUCCUGGUCCAUAAGUAGAAAUGCAUGUGUCAACAAGGAGGGGAAAUUGCAUCCACACAAAUGAGGCGAUUGGAAGAGUCGCAAGAAGAAUAAUUGGGAAAACAAUCCAUGAUUGUUUGUCAAGCAUAAGGGCAGAAGAGAAGGCAAUCAUCAUAGCGGCGAUAGAGAAAAAAAGGGUGAAAAGGCCAAAUAUCAUUUUUCUGGGUAAAGAUUUAAGGAAGUCAUCUUCGGAAUAACGCGAUGUGAGCAUUCCUAAGAAUAUCAUUACUGAAGUUGUGGAAAAAAAUAGCGAUAUACAAUCUGACAUUAUAAAAACCAUGAACAACUUUUUACCCAAAAAUGUGAGAUAGCCUUUGUCUUGAGUGUUUCCUCCAGGAAUUGUAAAUGCUACAGCAAACAUCAUUGUAACAAUUAAAGCACCUACAACCGUGCAAGAAGUUGCAGUCACUUUCAUUGAUUUCUCACCCUCCUUCACCAAUUCUUUGUGGUUCUUCGUAAAUAAUUCUCGAGCUGUCAUGCGAUCAGUAUUGUUCAUCAAUUCAGAGGCCAUGACAGGUAGAAUGCUCUCCACCUCCUACAUUUCAUUAAAUAAAAACUUACUAACUACGCCAUUUAAGAGGUACAUGAAGGAUAGUAGUUUCUUGAAGCGCAUGUCUGAACAAUUGUCUCAUAAGACUACUGAAAAGCGUGCGCAAUAGCGAUAGUUGCCAUGGCCGAACCAUGUUUCAUGGCUUGUGUCGUUAUCAGAGCCAUGGGUUACUGUAUAUCAGGGGUGUCCAGUGUCCACGUAACCCAUCGUAAAAGGUCAGAUGAUUUUCACAGCCUCUAAAUAGUUAUAGGUUUUGUUAAUCUAGAGGCUAACCCUUAUCUCGCCAUCUUCUCUUAAUGUAAAUAAUAUUGUUUGUUAAAAAAAAAAUGUUGGCAUGAGUUAAAUUGUAGGGAUUCUAGGUCUUUCAGGAGUCCUUAUUUUAGUAGGAAAAAGAUUAUGUAUAUUUCUUUUAUUAUAAAAUUAGGUUUUGUAUAUGUAAAUAUUGUAACCGUGCGUUUUAGUGAAAAUAUUGAGUUUUGGGUUAUAUAUAUACAAUUCCACUCUAAACCCUGCAAAAAAACCCUUAAAAUAUGCGAUGCUUUGUGUCUUCAAACAUAUUUUUAUUUUAUAAUUAUAUCUUACAGAUCACCUACCAUUUAUUCCAAUAAAAAUCUAAAAAUGUGAAAUUAUCCAUCAUCGUUAUUGACUUUUGAGCUAUUUACUUCUAUGUUUAACAAUAUUAAAAUAUAAGGAAAACUAAUGAAAAGGGUUUGAAAACUUUGAGUUUUAACGAUAAGGACAAAAUAAAGGGUAAAAUAAAUAGUACCAUGUUGACUUUUUAGUGUAAAAAUGUGGUUUUUUGUCAAACAAUAUUAAAAUAUAACGUCAACAUUCAGCUGAAUUACAAAAAAAAUGUAUAGUUACACUAUAAUCAUCAAAGUUUACAGUGAAGCCUUACAUAAUAAUUGUAACGUUAUAGUUACUAACACAAAAUAUCAUUGUUAUUAUUGUAACAAAGUUGGUUUUUCCGUUGUGAACAUCUUAUUACAUUGUCAAGGUAGGAUCUUAUGUGUGAACAUAAUUACAAAAUCAUCGUUUCAAUUAAAGGAUAUUGAUACCCUUGUUUUAAUGGGUACCCUAACUAACCGGUAAAUAUUGUAAAUUAGCAUACAAAUUUCAUUAAGAGAUUAGAUGUCUUACUUCCAACGUUACAUCUUGCAAAUUGGCAUGUUCCACUACUGCACUACUGUUAAUGUGGUUCUUUUUGUACACACAAACUUCAUUAAGUAUAACUAAGUCAAAAAAAUUUAUUUUGACAACAUCUCUAUUAAGUAAUAACCUCCCUGUAGCUAUAAAAUUGGUUUGGUCCCAAACACUAAACACUGACUAUAUAGAGGUUUUAUUGUAUUUAUACAUGUUUUAUAUAAUUAAAAAAAACUAAUGAUUGGCCUAUGGCUCUUUUUGAGGACAUUUUGUGUUGAUUUUGAGUUUGAUGCUCAUCACAUUCUAAUCGCCCUCCCUAUAGGCUUGUAAGCUCACAAGUAGAACCGUCGCUGUACAUGUAGGCUAUGGACAAUUCAUUAUGCACAUGUAUAAUGAAUUUAACAAUAGCUAUUCUCUCUUAAUACUAUAAUAGAAGAUGUAGUUUUCUCGGCUUUUCAGUUUAAAGUAUUUGUGUGUUAUAUCAAAAGUAAUUAGACCGCUAGCUUCACUCACUGUCAGUUGAUAUUGGGUUAGACUUGUUAGCUGGCAAGUAGAGCCAUGGCCAUAUAUACAUGUUGGGCGAGAACAAUUUAUCUCGUGAAUAUGCAGUGAGAAAUUAAGACUAACCUUGAACAAUUGCAGUUCGCUUUGCAUUUGCAGCGCUGCACCCUGAAUAUGAUUAAGGUUCGCAGAUAGAUUUGCCGCUGAAUGUAGAAUACUAUUGUUAAAUGUAUCUGGAAUCAAAAUCAAAGUUCUACCACUUUCCUUCAGCAUCCUGAGUAGAAGGUUGAAAAUUUUUGCUUGACGACAUUCCACGGCAUAUGGCAACACUGUCUUGCCUUUUCCAUCUUGUAUCUCAAAACCUGGAUAAACCUUAAAAAGAUGAUAAAUGAAGUCAACUUGUCCUUGUUCCACAGCUCGGAAGAUUGCAGUUUGCAGGAACAUAUAUUGCUUUGGGGUGUCAUAUGUAAAGUGUUCACCCAUGAAACGUAAAAAUUCUCGGGUUCGAAGAUGGACCGAUUUCAUUUCAUAUAUAUGAUUGACACCUAGGUUAAAAAUGGAAACAGCAAGCAAAGUAUCAAAAGAAUUAGAAUUAAAAUUAAAAUGGAAAAAUAAUAUCAACAAUGUAGGUGUAGCAUACCCAAAAGUUUAGCAAGUCCUGGAAAUAAACCCACAACUGCAUUGCAGAUUAGUACAAAAAUAUGUUAGGUAAAAAAUUAUACAAGGGUAUGUUAAUUAGAUAACAAUACAUUUGUAACUUUUGCAAGGCGCUUAAUCUUCAAGAGCUUUUCAAUCAAACAGUUGUACUUCAAGAGCUUAAAAGCAUCUACUCAUGCAUAAUUUGGCUUCUCCUCUUUUUCUUAGAAUAAAAAAUAAAUAAAAAUAACAAUCGCAAUUUUAUUUUAGAAUAUUUCUUUUCCUUGAUAUCAAUUAGUGGCAUGUAGAGUACCAUAUGUAAAAGAGAUGACUGAGUGGACUAAAAAUGGAAUGGAUCAAAGGAAGACAAAAGGACGCAACAGGAAUUUACAGAUUUGGCAUCCGAGCUCCUUUUUGGGCGCAUAUACCUUCCCGAUUCAAAGUCAUUUAAACUUCCAAAACAGCGUUUUAAAGUUUGUAAAAAAAAAAAAAAAAAAAAAUCUGAGCUUUAGUUUUUUAUCCGAUUUAUGUCAAUUGAAUUCCCUAUGACCCCUGAACUUCCCUUGGGUUGGGUUUAAGUCUAUUUAAGCCUUUUGGCACCUGUUGUAAUACUUCGUUCAAGAAUUACUCAAAUAAACCUUUCGGUUUUCUCUCAAAAUUUAGUGGAUUUCAGAGCAUUAUUUUCGACGGGUUACGUUUGUAUCCCUUGCUAGCUUGUGCUUCGUGACCAUCUAAACUGGCUAUCAUUCCGAGAUAUACUAAGCAAAGAGGAGUAUACAUUUAAAAAAAAAAAAAAAAAAAAAGCUAUUUUUCGCAUUAUCUUUCGAGAAUAUAUAUGAACCUCCUAGUACUGUGCUUUACUAGUUGUUUAUAACUUUUUUGGGUUUCUUCAAGACAUGAAUGUUUUAUAUACAUGACGGAUGCCUCAUGGCAACUGUCUAUGAAUGCUUUUAUUUCAAUGUUAAAAGGAAAAAAAAAUCUAAUUAUUGACCAUUUCUUACACACACUUCUAAGCGCAUUUAUAUAUGUAGUAUCCACGUAUUAGAAUUAUUGAUCAAGAGUCCAAAUAACAUGCAAAGCAAAUGGCAUUUCCAACGGGCAACGUACCUGAGUGAAUUAGACCCGGUUGACACCUUGGUCAUCUUGUGGAUUCUCAACAUUUAGACCCGUUUGAUCCCCUUGGUCAUCUUGUGGAUUCUCAACAUUUAGACAAAGAUCAUUGGUGGGGGUAGAUGUUUCGGCCGCAGUAGGUUUUACGUAUAUCACUGUAGAGAUAAGACGUAACAAGAUAAAUGGUUUCUACAAGAAGUAUGAUCAUAACUUGAGGGAGAGAAAGAGAGAGAGUAGUUCUAACAGUUAUAGAUUCAUUGUUGCCAGAAAUUGAGUCUCACGCCACAUAAGAAUGCAGAACGCGCACCAACUAAUGCAUUUAGAGGGGAAUGCCCGAAGUGGUCAGUAGUAAGGGUCAAGCUUGGGCAACGUUGAAUCAAAUUCCAUGCAAUAUCUAGUGUGUAUAUAUACACAUAACACUAGGAUAAAAACUAUUAAUAUAAGAGUGAAUUGUAAAAAAAUGAGUAUGAUACAAGUGAUUUUACAACUAGAUGGUAAGUGUAGCACUACUCUUGCAAAUUUGGUUUAAAAAUUUGGUAUCUCUAACAUUAUCCUUAAUUUUAGAAUGUUAGCUACUUUCUCCAUUUCCUUUCAUCUUUGUGCCUUCCCCGGCCUUCAUUUGCACAUUAAUAGAGAUGUCAAUGGGGGCAGAUCGGUUUAGAAUGUGCUCUCCCCAUACUGAAACCCAAAACCGAAGAAUCCCCGAACGGGUUUUCUCCAUAACAAAACCCGUUGGAUAUCGGAAUUACCAUCGGGUAACGGUUUUCCCCAUUUGAUAUUUAUAUGGUUGAUGGUUGAUGUCCUUGGUGUUUGUAAGUUGCGUUAUGAUGAGUUGGGUUAGGUUGUUUGGGGCUCUUUUACCCCUUUGUUACCAACAAAUGGCCUACCGUUAUCUGGGAUAUUUAUUCAUCACCUACUGAAUUUUCUCAUCCUUGUGGAUUACACGUAAAAAGAAAUGUUGGAUUAAAAAGACGAACCCAACGAGUGAGGGGUUUUGUUUCAAACAAAUGCCGCUCCAUUUAGUUGUGAAUAUUGAAUGCAAAUGCACCCUCCAUAAUGCACGCAUGUGUAUUUAAUUCUGGCUAUUAACUAUUAACUAUUUAUAUUUUUAAUUAUAUACUGUAUAUAAUUACUAGCACAGAUUUUCAUAUUUAAUAAUGUAUAAUUAUUGAUAACAUGUUUAAUAACGCAUGAUUAAUGAUAAUCCGUUUCCCCAAUUCAUAUUUUUUGUUAAAAAAUUAAAAUGGUUUGGUUUUAAGUAUGGGUUUGUGUGGAUACAUCAAUAACCAUAACCGAAUCCGAAACUAAAAAAUUUACCCGACUAUUGUCCAUAACCGUAAAAAAUCCGAAAAUUAAUCCUCGAAACCGAACCGUUCGGAUCGGUUACCUACGAAGAUCGGGUUUGACGGGUUAAAUUGUCAUAGCUACACAUUAAACUAAACAAUUAUCCCCAUCCCAUCCAUUUACAUCUCUACCCUUUUUUCCUUUUUUUUUUUGGGAGCUCCCACCCCUAUACCCUUUUUUCUUUGAGCAGCCUUUAUGGCGUCGGCUAACUACCACCAAGUUUUCAUUUUCAACCCAUUAACAGAAGUUUGAUACUGCAUGAACACGACUGGGUUUCGUAGGUGUUGGAAAUCACGGCGAUUAUGAGCAUUGUUAACCCAAAAUAGAGAACCACAGAUUGCUUAUGAGCUUAAUUUUCCCAUUGGACUUUAGUGGCAGGACUGAUUAUUUCAUGAGUUUUUAAGAAAACACAGGUGAGAAUACCCAAUUAGAUCUUCGAAGGUAUGAAAGGAAUUUGCUGGGAUGAGUGGAAGUAAAUGAGUGAAAGUGAAUGCGAUAGAAAAAGGAGGAUUAUGGGUGAUAGCAGCUUGAGGCUUGAGCCCUGGAGUCAGCUCAAGUGCCCACGGAGGAAAGUGAAGACGAAAAGUUUGGGAAAAGAGGAGAGAGGGUGAGAGAGAUAAAUGGGUGGGCCCUAGUUUGUAUUAUUUGAUUUUUUUUUUUGUAACAAAUGAUAUUUACGCGAAGAGGAAUGAGGGACACAAAGGUGAAAGUAAACGAGAAAGGUCGCUAACAUUUCUAUAAUUUUAAUUUUUUGAAGUGUACUUUAAACAAAUUCAAAUUCUAUUUUUGUUGUUUAAUAUGUAUUUUUAUUUAACGUCUUCACAUUAAAAUUUUGAUUUUAUUAAUAUGCACAUUUUAGUUCUUCCAAUUAUAACUAGGCCUAAAUGAGAAAACAUUAAAAGAAAUUAGUGACACAUAGGAACAAUAUGUAAAUACAUAAGUGUACAGAAAGAACUGUACCAAAUUAGAUUAAAUUGACUUGUUUGUACUGAAAUAUUUGUACCUAAAUAUUUGUACGAAAUAAUUACAAUGAAUUAGUGUGCCUAAAUGUUUCUACCGAAUUAUAUUAUAAUGAAUGUGUGUGUACCUAAAUAUUUGUGCCAAAGUGUAUUUAUAAUGAGGGUUUUUUUUUUUGAACAAACGAUAUUAUCUACAUUAAGGAGGAGGAGGAAGUGAGCUUAGCCUCACAAUUGGCUAACAAUAAUGUGAUUCAAAUUCGACUUUGGUGAGAAUCGAACCUAAAAUCUCUCAUUUACAAGUGAAGAGGAAUACUUCUAAACCGUAGUACUAAGUAGCUAUAAUAAGUUAAUGUACCUAAAUAUCUCUACCAAAAUAUAUUAUAAUGAAUUAGUAUAGACUUGGAACAGAAUAAUCAUGAAAUUACCAACAAAAAAAUUUGGAAUAUAAAUGGCAUUUAAAUAGAUGAAGGGACUAAACUCAAUUUUAAAUAUUGUACGGCAUUAAUCUAAACUGCAUGUUCAUUAAGGAUUAAAAUCUAAUUUUUUUUUUAUAAAUUUAUAUACGUACCAAAUGAUUGGUUGUAGAAACAGUUUGGGCCCAAAAUAACAGUUUGGGCCAAGUGUAGGGUCAUUCUCGGCCCGGGAGGCCUUGCGACAAGAAUACCAUGGAUCGUUCAGUACGUGGGCCUCCAAACCUAGGUCGGCUAGGUCAUAACGCAAGAGGUCGAAUCCUAGUGCGAUAAGGAGUCUCGGCAGGACCCGGAAGCGAAUCCGGCUCAGGUAAAGGACUAGGUUCACAGUCCUAGUGAAGGUAGGACUGGUCGAGUUGAUGCUGAUCAGGGGAAGAAAACCUAGUCCGAGUAGGUUUUUAACUCGACCUUGGGGGGAGCCAUUGCUAUAAAUAGAAGAGGUUACACAUCAUUCAAGCUCCCUACAAAUCAAUACAAAAUUGCCCUGCGCAAACUCUCACAACUUGUGAUUUUUCUUUUUCCUUUUUCGCUGACACAUCUUCCGUUGGCAUCAACAGCACUGUGGAAGCCACCGGUGAUAUCUUAAGUCGGCAUAGAUAGCUCUGUCACCGUAGAAUUGAUCGGUCUUGCAGUAUCUUCCGUUGGCAUCAACAACACUGCGGCGAGAACGGUUGAUUACCUAUCCAAGUCUCGGUCGAGAAGGGUUUCUGAACCCUUAUUGGUCGAUGUCAUCUCAUCAGCCUUCUCGGCGAAGUGAGGUGUUACAGUUAUUACAUUCGGCACAUUGAAAGCCGAAUUUGAUACUGAACUUCGUAAGAAUAGUAACCUUGUCUUCAGGUUCGAGAGCCCAAGAGGCCGAGACGUGUUCCUUUCUCAGCCGCAAUUGCAAGACGUAGAAGUCAGUAGCGCGACCCAACGCAACAUCAACAAAUUUACUCCUCGGCCGAGCUCGGCCGACGAGUUGGCACGCCCCGCAUUCACCGAAGGACGUAGUUAGCUCAUUAAUUACUCGGCCUGCGCGCCACGUAGGCUUUGUAGUUUCUAGGGUCAAUAGAAACAAGGGGAAAUAAGUUCAGCACCGUCGCGGCCUUCAUUGGGUCCACGCGUUAGUUCAUCGAGAGGAGUGACUGUAUAAAGCUUGCGAGCGAUUUCAUUCAAGUCCAAUGAAGCAGCGUGGAGAACAGGAGUCCUGUUGUUUAAAACAGGAUUCCUGGCGUUGGGAGCAGAAGUUCGCAUGGUCGCUAUAUUCUUGUUCUUUUCAAUCAUCUUUUCAACUAUUCCGAUACUGUUUUGGUAUAUAGCAUAAACCAGAGGUGUGCAACCAUUUACAUCUGUUAUCGCCAAAUCUUCUUCUCUCAUCAAUUGCAGCAGCUUUUUCACUAUAUAAAACUGCCGACCCAAAAUUGCUGCGUGAAUAAUCGUCCCUCCGUCCGCAGGAUAUACUUUUCUUAUUGCCUCAGGAUUUUGGUCAAGAAACGCCUUUGCAGCAUUCCAAUCACCGCCCCUCACAUGCUUGAACAAAGGUUUAAGGUAGGAGUCGUCAUCGUCACUCUCAUGUCUUGUUUUAUCUUAACAGAGGAUGGAAAAUAAUAUUAAGAAGAAAUUAGAUUCUCAUUUUAUCAAUUUCCAUGUAAACAUCAAAUCCAAAAAAAUGAAUUUUGUAAAAAAGAGUAUACUUUUUCAUGGCAUUUUGUAAGCUCAUUUCAUACUUUUUCACGAUGUUUUACUUGAUGUCUUCAUAUGUUUCAACAGUUUCAUAUGUAAUUAAUCCUUUUUUUUUUUUUUGAAAAGAUCCAUGAGUUAUAAUAUGAAUGGACUAAAGAAUUAGAUAUUUUCCUCUUUUUUCAUUUUAAAAUUAUAAUAUCUUUAAAUAUAUAUUCACUCAUAUUAUAACAUCGACAUGUUAUACCACACAAUCAUAUUCCAAUAUUACACAAUAAUUUCUAAUUUAGAACUUUUAAAUUCAUAAAGAAAGUUAUAAAAAAAAAACAAACCAGUUUCAUGAUAUAAACCCAAAAUACUGGGAAAAAAAAACAAAUUACUGCUAUUUGAGUGGGAGUAACUAGCUAGUAUCCUGCGGGCGACCUGUAUUUUGAUUUGUAUAAGAAAAAUUGAAAAAAAAAAGAAAACACCCACACACAAAAAAAAAGUAUUUUGAGUUUAAUUAGUUUUUAUUUUUGGUUUCUUUCUUUAAUUUAAUAUUUAGAACAAACUACCUUUGAAAAGUUUCCGGGUUAUUUCGAACUUGUCUUGCAAAAUAUCCCAUGCGGAUUUGGCCGAGGUGGUGUCACUGAUAAAACUUAAGAUGUCAUCCCCGCAAGAAAGCUGGAUCGCAUGCAAAGCCUCGGCAUUCUUCUGCUCCUUAUCACUUGGACAUGCAACUUCUGGAGGUUCAGGUUUGAGAGGUUCCGUUUGGACAACGUCCCAAAGAUCUUUAGCUACCAAGUAGGUUUUAAGCCGCAAACUCCAAGGUGUAUAAUUAUUUUGGUUAAGAACUUCAGGUACAAUUCCACAAGCCAUGCUUAAUCUGUUGAUUUACCCAAAUGUGAUUUAUCGAUCAAACAAGAAAUUAGUAGAAACUACUCACGUAUGUGCUAAAAAAAAUAAAAAAAUCAACUCACAGCUGAUUGUAUUUGACAAAUCUCCAGAAAGAGCAGCUUGUGAAUUCCAGUAUGUGUCAGCCUACCAGUGUGCUGUGAACAAGCUUUGAUUUAUAGGCAAACAAUAAUACAUUUACAAUUAUAAAAGACUUGAAGAUUGACUUAAAAAUAAGAUUAAAAAAGACCAAUAAUUGAAGGUUAAACUUAACAGUUGUCCUUGUUCCAAAAAAAAAAAAAAAAAAACAAUUAUUCAAUUGAUAAUGGGAUCUGUGACAACAUAAUUUGAACACAAAUUUCGAACAAUUAAAUUAAUUCACUUUUGAUGAUUGAUCCGACACAGCAAUUUACUUGACAUAAUUUUUAUUAAAACAACAAAUAUUGAAAUAAAAAUAUGAAGGCUUUAUAUUUAUGACCUUAAUUCUCUUUCCUCAAUAGUUAAUUGUGUUUUGAUUGCCUAUUCGAAUCCCCUUAUUUUCCGUAAUUUUCUUCUUCAUCCGUCCCCCACAAACUCUUUUGUUCUGUAAAUUCUCUCAGCCUUGAGUUAAUAUAUUCCAGUCAAUUGCCCAAUCAUGUAACCGGGCUACAUACAUUGCUUAGGUAAUAGAUAAUUUAUGCUUUUAUUCUUAUAUUUAUACCUAAGACUAGGGACGAGGUUAGAAAUUCUUUUAGUGGAGGCAACUCGAAAAUCAACUAAGCAAAACCUUAUUAUAGUAUAGUUUGUACCCAAUAUGAUAAUAGAGAUGAUUUCAAAUAAUGAUGUAUCACAAUUCUAAUGUUACAAAAAUUUCAGUGUAGUAGUGGAAAGUGGCAGAGUGAUAGGAAAAAUAUUAAUACAUGAUUACGCGGGAGAGAGGUUUUUCAGUUUGAAUGACAGAACAUAAGCACUAUAUAAUAAUUGAUAUGAAGUAUAUGCAGUAUGAAAGUAUGUUGGACAUUAAAUACCUAUAUUUUCUUCAAAGAUAACGCGUUUGUAUUAUAUAAUUGUAGUUUGCAACUUAACAAACAAAUCACUUAAGUGGGGGCAUAUGCCCCCAGUGAGCCUUCAUUAGCUCCAUCCAUGCAUAAGACAAUAAGAAGAAAAACAUAUAUUAUGUUGUAAACUUUCUUAGUUUAUGUGUGAUUCUGUAAAUCUUAAAUUAUAUUUGAUUCUAGUUAUUAUUUCCUAUAUGGACUUGUAUUCCUUGGGGAUGAAGGAUUUUAUUCUCUUCCUUAUUACUAUAAAUAAAGGCACUGCGUAGGGGGGAGAAUAUAGAUUUCUCUCUACAAUUUUACAUACACAUCUCUCUCUCUCAAUCUUUCUCCUUGCCACCGGCACCUUUCCCCUUGUCAGAUAAAAUAGGCUACAACACGUUAUCAGCACGCGCCUACCGCUGCGCUUAGGAAUCUGACGUUGAAGCAUUUUCUGCAUUAAACCAGUUCAUCCAUAUCAUCACACAAUCAUAUUCUUCCAAACAACAGUUUUUAUCUCGAUAUUUUUGCAGCCCUGAUAGCAUGAACAUUCACCAUAAUGCAUGACCCAACUUUACGUUUUUCGAAUUUUAGAUUCUACAUAAAUUGUGUAUGCAUUAUAAUCAUAAUAGUUGAAUUAUGUGAAUUUGAUAUUGCCAUAAUUGCAUCAAAUAUUUGUCCAUGCAUUAAAAUAUUUGAAUUAAAUAUGCAUUGAAUUGAAUUAAAAAGAAAAAAAAUUUAAAUUGAACUUGGGAAACAAUUCGAACCCCUAACCUUUAGCCAUGCCAGCCGCCAACACCAGGCCAACAGCUUGGCGAGCCCAACCCAACAUCGAAACCCAGUUUUGUAAGCCUAAACCAAAAACGGUGCGUUUGAUGCACCCUGUCUCGACCCAUGGCCUGAAGCCCAGGUCCUCCCAAUCAAUUUUUCUGACAAAACACGACCGGCCGUCAUGUAAUUUGGACGAAAACUCAUCGUUUUCACCAACGAUUUCUCGAAAUUCAAGAAGAAUUUCAUGAUUUUUUUUUUGAAUUUGAUUGAAUUCCUUCAGUUCUCCAUCCCCUGACGUCAAGUUUUCACCUCCGUCGAUAAGUACUUGGUUCUCCAACGAACCAUAGCUUGUACAGACCAUGGAAACGUCACUUGAAGCGAUGCCGUCGAUUGAUAUCAUCGAACUCGAAUGGGAAACCACUAAACCGUAGUGCAACAGUUUCAUUUUUUUUUUUAAGCAAUAUAGUCCCACGGCGAUCCUUUAAAUCUUAUGUCCAUAGGGAGUGUUAAGAUUUUUGCUCAGGAAAUAUGCUAACCAUUUAGACAGAAAAUUUAAAAUUAUUCAAAACAGAAACGAACGCUCUGUGCAAGACGAAGAGCUGUUAUCCAAAGGCGUAAAAAGGUAUCAUGCCAGCUUGCGCCAUUUGUUGCUCGAAGGGUUUUAAUCAAACCUACAAAAUGAAACCUUGCUUUUUCAUCCUCACAGAACUGGCUCCAUAAGAACAAAUAGUAAUUUAAAAAGUACUUAUUUAAGCACAAGUAAUUACUUCAACAGCACUUGUUGCCUCAACUUGAUACCCAUCAUUUGAUAAUAGAAUUGAAUUUGUGAAUUUUCUUGUUUCAUAAACCUAAAAGAACAAUAUAAUUGACUAUGAAAUUUGUUAUUUUUAAAUUCUCAAUCAUAGAAAUUGAGAAAUUACACAUAUUUACAUGAAAUUUAAACUUGGAAAUUGGAGGUCCCAAAUUCCAAGUUUUUUUUUUUAAGCAAAAAUUUUAAAUUUCUAUAUUUAUAAAUUCACAUAAGAAAAUUGAUACAUGUCAAUUUUUUCAUUGGGUUUUUGUUACCUAAUGAGGUUUUAAUGAGACACCCAUCCUGGGAUGAUCAUACUCCGUUGAGUUCACUACUUUCGUCUUAUUUGACUUUUGUUUUAGACAUUAUGUAUACUUCUCACAUUUCUCCUUUAUUUAUGAGUUUUCACAUGCCUCAGGUUUUAUCAUAGCGAGAUUUUGUAAGUUUUAUUACAAAUGCAUACUUUAUUUAAAUUUGUGACUCGCAUUCACACGUUGUGUCGACAACUUCAUCAACUGUUCUACCUUAUCUGUUGAAGAUCUGAUGUGAUGUUUUGUUUGAGUAUUUACACACUCAAAGGAAGUGUUGCAGUCCUAUUAGAUUAGGAAUGUGAUUGUGUAAAUCUUAGUGUAUCUAUGGAUAUUUUUGAAUAUUUCCUUAAGGGUAAGGAUUUAACCUUCCUUACUACUAUAAAUAAAUGCAAAAUAAGGUGAUACAAUAUACACCUCAGAAUUACAUCUAUCUCUUCUCUCUCUUGCCAUCGGCCCUCUCCCUCUGUAGUCUUAAAUACAAUUAAUUAAAUUAUGCCUACAACAUUUUUUUUUAAUUUUUUUUUUCUUUUUGUUUCUUUUUCUUUUUUCUUUUUCCUUUUCUUUUCUAGAACUUCUUCUAGAUUCUCUCGAGUGCUCCCCCUUUUUCCUCCUCUUCUGUUCUUUUCUUUUCUUGAAAGGUUGCUCCGCAGAUGAUGCAAGCUUCAAAAAAUUGGACUUCUGCAAUGCGAAUCCGGGGUUAUGCAGCAUACCUUCCUAAUGACGAUCCUCCAAUAACCUUCCAACUGACAAUCCUCCCUUCUUCUUUAUGGAUCUCGCCGGCCGAUUUUCAAUUGGGCUUUUCACUACUGAAAAAAAAAGGGUCUAAGAAGACAAUUAAUUUGUGCUCUUUUUAAUUUUAUUGAGCACAUGUAUGAUAUAUUUAUUUGUGCUUUUAAAUGUCAUUGAGAUUGAGCACAAAACUAUCUCCAAUGCUUCUUUUGCGCAAAAAUGUACAUUAGUUUGUGUCUUAAAAAAAGUGUAUUUGUGCCCAUUAAAAUUUGAGCACAAAAAAUUAUGUCACUAUUUAUGGGUAUUAGUAAUUAUAAUUUUUUAUUAAUUUACUAAUAUAACAACAACAAAAUUUUAUAUCAUUAAAUAGAACCGGCUUAUUAAUUUACUAAUAUACUAAAAAAAUAUUUUCGUGCCCUUUGAUUUAAUAUAUUUAAAUCACUUGGUCUUAAAUCUUUUUGUUAUUUCAUUUGUACAACAUGCUCUAAAUAUUCUGUCACAUCUCAUCUCAAUUUUUUUUAGUACACCGAUAUUUUUAUACAAAAGGGAAGGGGUUUCAACUAAGCCACAUAAUGGGCAGCCUAAUUUAGUAUCGAAUUCACCAUUCACAAGAUUCAAACUUAAGACCUCUCAUUUUCAAAUGAAGAAAAAUAUCAUUAGACCGUAACACUGAGUGGUGUCAUAUCUCAUCUCAAUUUAAUUCUAUUUUAUUCAUGACACUGGAAAAUUAAGAAAAAUAUCCUUGAAGGGUUAAGUGAAAAUCCUAUUUAGACACACACAUAUUCUCGCAGUGUUCAUCCCUACGAUGGCGUGGACAAGUCGAGACGAAGUUCAUGGUUACAAUGAAGAUUCUGCAGAACCAUAAAGACCAAGGACAAUUUGGUAAGUUCACUAGUUGUGAAAUGUCUUAUCUGCCUUAUAGAAUUAUUUUAACACUAUUUUCUUGUUGGACCUUGGUCCAUGGGACCCACCCACGUGACCCACUCUCUUGGUUUGUCUUCCCCGUGAGCCACCGCUUUCUCAUUUCUCUCUCAAACCCUCCCUCCCAAGUCUCUCGUCCCUCUCCUUGCUGCAAACGCAGAAAACAAUAGAUCGCGUCUGCCGUCGUUCCCCGUCAAUCUCAAACCUACCACCACUCUUGUCCACCUUUUCUUCCUCACCACCAUUCAAUUUUACUCUAUGCUCUCUGUGAAACAGAGAAGCUGAUAGCUCCUGUACAAAACACGGAUAGCGGUUCCGUCGCUGUCCAACAAACCAUGUCGCCAAUCACCAACCCCGUGCCCCUUUCCCAACCACAUACCCUUUUCCUUACCUCUGCUUCAUCGAAACUCGAAUGGGAAACCACUAAACCGUAGUACUACGGUUUCAUUUUUUUUUUAAAGCAAUAUAGUCCCACGGCGAUCCUCUAAAUCUUAUGUCCAUAGGGAGUUUAAGAUUUUUGCUCAGGAAAUAUGCUAACCAUUUAGACAGAAAUUUUAAAAUUAUUCAAAACAGAAACGAACGCUCUGUGCAAGACGAAGAGCUGUUAUCCAAAGGCGUAAAAAGGUAUCAUGCCAGCUUGCGCCAUUUGUUGCUCGAAGGGUUUUAAUCAAACCUACAAAAUGAAACCUUGCUUUUUCAUCCUCACAGAGCUGGCUUCAUAAGAACAAACAGUAAUUUAAAAAGUACUAAUUUAAGCACAAGUAAUUACUUCAACAGCACUUGUUGCCUCAACUUGAUAUCCAUAAUUCGAUAAUAGAAUUGAAUUUGUGAAUUUUUUGGUUUGAUAAACAUGAAAGAAUAAUAGAAUUGUAUGUGAAAUUUGUUAUUUUUCAAUUAUAAAAAUUGAGAAAUCAUACAUAUUUACAUUAAAUUUAAACUUGAAAAUUAGAGGUUCAAAAUUUCAAGUUUUCUUUUCCAAGUAGAAAUUUUAAAUUUCUAUAUUUAUAAAUCUACACACAAAAAUUAAUGCAUGUUAAUUUAUAAGUUCUUACUUUUAUUCAAAUUUCAAAUUUAUUUUAUUCAUCCAAUCAUAAUCGAAUUAUUGAAAAACAAAUCCUCCUAUUCAUGUUGGCAGUUGGACUAAUUGAUGUACCAAGCUUUCUGAUAAGCAAGGAUUGAAAUAUCGGCCGAUACAUCGAUAUAUCGGCUGAUAUAUCAAUAUUUUCAACUGUCGAUACCGAUAUUGGGGGGUAAGGCCAUAUAUUCCCCUAUAUCGACGAUAUAUCCCCGAUAAGUGCGAUAUCUUCGAUAUUUUGCCGAUAUUCUUGAUAUUUCCCGAUACCUAUAACAAAACCCAAAAAAAUUCAAAAGUUUUCAAGCAAAUUGAAACCCAAAUGAAUCUUAUGAUGGCUAUGGGUAUGUCAUGUUUGAUUAUAGUGGAACUAGUUAUGGAGAUCAAGAUGAUGAAACAGACUAUGGACCUACUAGUUGGGUUAAUCCUAACUAUCCCAUGUAUGGGAGGACAGUAGGGAGCUCAAGAGAGACAUAUGUGCACCAUGUUCAAACAUGGCUUACAAACUGCUCGGGUUACAUGACUUGGUAUGACUAUUGUAUGAAUCUAGAUGGUUGUUCCUCAUUGUUUGAACCUCAUAGGAGCUCUUUAUUUAUGUAGUUGGACACUUAUCUAAAUUGUAAUCUAAUGUUUAAACAAACUAUGGAUUUAUGCAUGGUUUAUUCAUUCUAAUAAACAUUUUAUUAGAAAACUUUUCAUUAACGCGCAUUAUAUACCACUUAUAUUUCAUCAUAUGAUAUCUUAUUAUUAGUAAAUUUUGAGUUUUAUUUGUUCAAUACAUUCAUUGAUAAUGUACAUAACAUCUAUGAAAGUUUUAGACCAAAAUUAUAUGUUUCAAUGCCUAUAUUUGUCAUUUUUGUUGAUUUUUUCUCGAUACCUAAAACGAUUACGAUAUAUCCCUCAAAAUAUCAGUAAAUUGAAGGCUCAAUAUUAUCUGCACGGCUGAUAUUUUAAUCCUUGCUGAUAAGUUCAUCCAAACCGAAUUAUUGAUCCACAGGACCCAACUACACACCAGCAAUAACGUUCAGUGUGAGAAUUACAUAUGGAUCCAGUCAAAGUGCUAUAAUAACUAUAUCUACUAUUCAAAUCUAUAAUGAUGAUGAUUGUCGAAAUGCAUUAGGUAGAAUUUUUUUUUAACAAACGAUAUUAUCUAGAGAUGUGAUAUCCACACACCCUAUUUUACUUCUCACACACCUUUCUAAUUUUCGACUGUCGGAUCGGAUGAAUGGAAGAAGAUCAACGAAUAGAAAUUAACAAAGGGUGAGUGAGAAGUAAAAUUGGGUGUGUGGAUAGUGUGGAUGCAAAUUUUCUCCUCCUCGAUCUCGGACGAUUUUGCACCUACAAAACAACUAGCACCUUAGGUUAAGGCCAAAAGCCUCACGCGCCCACGAUGAAUGGGGGGGGCUUUGGCCGAAGAACCUCCGAUGCCAAAGUUAGAAUUUUAGAGAGAAAUAGUGUUUAGAAUAUUUGAGAUUUUUUGCAAGAGGUUUGGAAUCUCCUUUUUGGUGAGAAUGAGAGUAUAUUUAUAGGGAUAGGAGGUGGCUAGGGUUUUUUGGGUUUAAUUUAGGUUUAAGAUGAUUUUGGGAGUUAUGUGAUUAAUUGACUAAUUAAUUUGGCAAAAUAAAAUUAUUACCAAAUGAAUUAGCUAAUUAAUGGGAUGAAAUGGGCAAAUAUCAAGAGAUAAACAAAACAUGGCCAAUUCCUUUUCUAACAAUAGGUGGCCGGCCCUUCACUUGUUUUUGGGGUUGAAUGGAUGUUUUAAUUGACAAUUAAGGAAUUGAUUAGGAAUUAAUCCCUUAAUUAGUCAAUUAUUAUGAUUUUAAAGGAAGAUUUUAGGAAAUAUGGUAGGUAUAUAUUAUUUAGCUAAUUGAUUAGCUAAAUAAUGAAAUAGAAAAUACUAGGUUUUGGGAAAUACCUUAUAGAAAGGAUUUGAUGAAAGAGGUUUUUAAUUGUUACCUUUUUUGGGCACUUUUGACUUGAUUGAAAGAUGAUUGCCCGCUGCUUGCGCGUAGGAAUCCUGGUAUGCCUCAAGGGUAUUUUUGUUCUCUUUUGUCCAAAAGUCCACGUGUCGCCUAGUGAAUAUUUUUGGCUCCACAGAUAGCACACCCCUAUUAUCUAUACUAAAAAUGAGGGCUGAACUUAGCCUCACAAUGGGCUCACAGUAAUGUGGUUCAAACUCACAUUUGGUGAAAAUCAAACCUAAAACCUCUCACUUACAAGUGAAGAGGAAUACCAUUAGACCGCAGUACUAAGUAGCUGCAUUAUUUCAAUUUAUAAUAUGAUAAUAAUAUAAAUAUUUGUCUGACAAUAAGGGCCUUACUUAUAGGAUUUGGAUCCUCGCUGGAUCCCCUUCUUGGGGAUUCCAGGGAUCAAUGAAUACAGAUCGUUGAUAAAAAAUCGUACGGCUAUAAUAAUUUUUUCUUUUUUUAUAUAUUUUCAAACAAACGAUGCUGCUUUACUUUUAAAAAUAUAAAAAAUAUUUAAUUGGGACCACACGAUUUUUUAUCAACGAUCCCUAGGAUCCUCAGGGAGGGGAUUCGGCGAGGAUCCAAAUCCUCACUUAUAUGCAAAUUUCUUUUGGGGAAAAAUAAUAUACACAUAUUUGUAUGGUUAGUUAAUGGUUUGGGCCAAGAUUUCGCCCAUUGGGUUCGGGCCAGCCCUCUUGACCUGCAGGCCCACAACCAAAUGGUGACCCCUACGUUUGUGUUGAAAUUUUUUUAUGAAUCCCAAUAGUAGUGGAGAAGUCAAAUAUAAAUUUUAUCAUAACGAGUUUUUUAAUAAAGCAGUAUUGUCAGUGGGUUAGCUUGUUGUUAGAGAUAAAGGGAAUUGAUGAGAAUCAAAACCGCACAAUAGAGAUUUCAAUCAACUCAUUAAUUUUAGGCACAUUCGCAUUUUGACACACAGAUUUAUUUUGUUCACAGUCCGAUUGCUCCAAUCCACAAUGUUUUCAUGAUCAAUUUCUUCUCAAAAUUGAAGGGAAAAAGUAUGCGCAAAAAUAUUUCAUGAUCAGUUUAUUCUUAAUUAAUUAAUUAUAUGUUUCUGACCCCAUGAACCUUCCGACAGAAAGCAAAUUAAUAUUUGGUUUUGUUUUCUUUAUAGUAUAUAGGAUAUUAUAUAUAUAUAUAUAUAUAUAUAUAUAUGUAUGUAUGUAUAUGUAUGUAUGUAUAUUUAUAUAUGUGUACAAGUUGGUUCUUCGGUCAGAACCACUAAGAUGUCCGGGAAAUUUGAGAGAACAUCAGUAAGUUCAACAGUGUCAAGGUGGAGGCUACUGAUCCAGUCCUUUAUCCGAGCCAAUUGAUGUUCAUCUUGCAUUGAAUCCUGAGUGUACACGAGAUUCUUUGCACUGUUGUUUAAGAUCUUGGAUUUCUGAAUGCUAUUUUCUGCGAUUUUGAUCCCUACUCUGUUCCCUGGUAUGGAAGAACAUUUAGACCUAUGUGCAGCCCAAGUGUUUGACGAAUUGCCCAGCUCAGAAUUGCAAAUCUGGGUUGCUCGAAGAUUAGGUAUAUGGGUUGCUUAUCGAUUGGACGUCUGGAGUUCAGUGCUAUUUGACGAUCUGGUGAUGCUUGUGUGGUGAUUCAGGUGAAUUUGUUUCUAUUUCUCGAAUCUCGAUUCUAUAUGCUGCUUAUUCUCUGAAGUCGUGGUAUGUGUUUAUUCUUGAUUUCCUGGUUUGUUUGAAGCAAAGAUUUGGGGGUUCUUGAUUUCUGGAUAGAAUUGUGAUAUGGUGAUGUCUCAAAAGGCCGAUGUCAUAUAUGGUGUUUGUGAAAAUGUCUUAGACAUAUAUUGUGGGAUUUUAUGCAUGAUUAAGUGUGAAGGCCGAUGUCAUAUGUUGAAAGAUGAUGAAAUAUGAGUUCUUGUUAAUUGAAUGAUAACGCCGAUGCCAAUGGAUUGAUGUUCUGAAGAUUCCAGUGUUGAAUAUUGUUAAUCUUGAAGUUGAAAUUGUUCAUCAAGAUGUCUGAUAAGUCUGUAAGAAUUGAAAGUUGGAUUUUAAUUGCUUGAAGAACUGUGUGAUUGGAUUCUUUGAUUGUACUCUGUUCUCUGCUAUGAAAGAAAGAUUAGACCUAUGCGCAAUUCCUGUGUUUGUCGAAAUGCCCAGCUCAACAGUUUGAUGUGAAUGUGCUUAUUGAGGAGUUUGUGCAGUAUGUUUCCCUUAUCUUAGCUUAUAAUUUCAGAGUCUAACCAACUCAGUUGUUAGCAUGAAUCUACAGUAAGUCCGGUUACACGAAGGGUAGAAGAAGUUGUUAACGGUAAAUCCCACGAAGGGUAAUCCCGUGUUUUGAGUAGGUAAAUCCCACGAAGGGUAAUCCUACAUAAAUGUUGAUUUUUCAGUUGUUGAAAUUGUGAAGGCCAAUGCCAUUGUUCAAAGAAGUUGUUUUUGGUAAAAUCCACAAAGGGCGAUCCCGUGGUGCUAUAGUUAAGGCCGAUGCCACACUAUAGUUUGUUAAUUUUCUGUUUUUGUAAAUAUUAAAGGCCGAAGCCAAGUUGAAUGAGAUUGUUGAUGGUGAAUCCCAUGAAGGGUAAUCCCGUAAGAAGUUGUUAUACCGGCAUGAGGGUGUGCUACAACUACUUUAUAGAAGGUUGUUCUUGUGUAAAACUCCUGAUAGAGGCAGAGGCAUACAGGGUGUCUUUAUUUGUAAGGCAGUGGAAGAAAUUUGGACUGACAGACAGAGGUUUUUUGGUCAACAGCUACAAAGAGGUUAUGGGGUACACUUGUGUGUGUUAUGUUAUGAUCAGGCCGUUUGCUGCUACUCCACUGUGGUUGUCUGAUUAAAACAAAAGGAUAAUGAGCAAACAUUAGUGCCAAACACUUUGAUACAUGAUUGGUUUGACAUUCCCUAGCUGAAGGCUUAUUACAACUUCGGAUUUGAUCACUUUAACCUCACAUGGAAGAAAGUGGGUGUGAGGGGUCUUGUUGAUUGCCUCUUGGGAAACUCAGGCCCGGUCGCUUCUGGUGAUUGGAUUCUCCCAGACCUAACACUUCAAGGCUCCAUAAGCCGUAACAGUCAUUUCCAUUCCUUCCCCUACACAUAUUACUUCAGCUAUGCCACUAAGCGUACCAAGAAGGUGUUGGGUGUCACAGUUCCUUCAAGUAUAUUCGGAAUUCAUCCAUUGCUUUUUAUUCGAGUGUUGCAGAUGAGCCGAUGGCGUUACCCUUCAGAUGUCUCUCCCCCAUACAAAGGCUACAGGGAUGAUGAUUGGCAGGCAUAGCAGAGGAGCCAUAUGCUGGACCUGGUGCAAGGCAGGCCAGUUUGGAGAUUGCAAAGAUCAAUAAGAAGCAGAUGUCUCAACUUGCAGGACUCAACAGUUUAUCUCAUGCUCACAUUGCUGCAAUCUCAGGCUUGGUAACCUAGCUGAGAUUGAGGGGGAUGAAGACAGAUGUCUCUUGAUUAUUGGUUACUGUGUAAUCAAUGCCACAUCAGCCUAAGUUGUUAUAAUGUUUGUUAGGUGGUUAAAUGAUUUGUUAGUUGGUUAAUUAGUUACUUGUGGUUAAGUAAGCUUGUAUUGUUUAGUAUAUAAUGCACUUCCAGUUACAAAUGUAGUAAGUUGUCAUUUUCUUCAAAUAUAUAAAACUUUAUCUCUCUCUCUAAACUCUCUGUGUUCUUCCUUUUACUCAUCCUUUGUUCUUGAUUUUCCCUUCAAUUCUCAAACACUACAAUGUAGAAGCCUGAAACCACUAAGAUGUUAGUUAGUUAGUUACGUGAAUAGCUUACUAGCUAAGUUUGGAUUCCAUGUAUAAAUAACUGAAUAACAGAUAUUGUAAUUCAGUAAGGAAUACACACAAAUCAAUACAGUUUCUUUCUCUAUUCUUUCUCUUCUUCUUUCUCUUUGAUCUCUGUAUCUUUCUGUGAGUUCUUCGAAGGUAUUAUUAGUGGUGUACCAUGAUAAUACACCACUAAUAAUACCUUCGAAGAACUCACAGAAAGAUACAGAGAUCAAAAAGAAAGAAGAAGAGAAAGAAUAGAGAAAGAAACUGUAUUGAUUUGUGUGUAUUCCUUACUGAAUUACAAUAUCUGUUAUUCAGUUAUUUAUACAUGGAAUCCAAACUUAGCUAGUAAGCUAUUCACGUAACUAACUAACUAACAUAAGCUGAGUUGGCUGUCUAUCUGACCCUUGAAUGUUGUAAUGAGUUGGCAGUUCAUCUAGCCAUUGAUUUAUGAUACUCAACAUUCCCCCUCAAUCGUGGCUGGGGUACUCAGCCUAAGAUUGUAACAAUGUCGAAGAAAGGCAGGGUUGUGAAGACCUUUUGUAAGAACAUCCGCAGUUUGAUCUUCAGUUGGAAUGUAAACCACCUUCAGAUCUCCUUGUUGAACACGUUCUCUCACAAAAUGAAAGUCAGUAUCAAGAUGUUUGAUACGAGAAUGAAAAACAGGAUUUGCAGUAAGGGCAAUGGCUGACAUAUUAUCACAAUGAAUUAUGGGAGGUGAAGGCAGACACACUUCUUAAUCCUUUAGGAUUCCCCUUAUCCAAGCAACAUCAGCUGCGGUAUGGGCAAGAGCCUUAUAUUCAGCCUCAGUUGAGCUUCUUGAUACUGAACAUUGUUUCUUUGAUUGCCAAGACACGGGAUUGUUGCCUAGAUACACUACAUAUCCUGUGAUUGACCUUCGAGUAUUGAGAUCAGCUGCCCAAUCAGCAUCUGAAAAAGCAGUGAUUGUCCUUGUCGUCAUUUGAUCAGCUGAAUAUAAUAUCCCAUGGUGCAGUGUACCAUGAAGAUAUCUGAGUAUUCGUUUCACUGCUGCAUAAUGCCUUUCUGUCGGAGACUCAUGAACUGACAUACUGUAUUAACCGCAUAUGCAAUAUCGGGCCUAGUAAAGGUCAGAUACUGCAACGAUCCGACGAUACUCCUAUAAAGUGAUGGAUCAGACAUUAAAGAACCAUCAGAAAAUAGCAUUUGAUCAUGAGUUUUGCAUGGAGUAGCAGCAGGUUUACAUGUGUCCAUACCUGCCUUAUGGAUCACAUCCUUUAUAUAUUUUGAUUGAUGCACAAAGAUAUCCCCAUUAUUCUUAUACGAGAUCUGCAAUCCCAGAAAAAAUGUCAAUUGUCCCAUAUCCUUAAGAUCAAAGACUUCAGAUAACUCAUCAAUUCAUCUUUUGAAUCUUGAUAGAAUUGGAACCGGUCAAUAUAAUAUCGUCAACAUAAAGGAGAAGAAUAACAAUAUCCCCAUCAUCCUGCUUGAUAAACAAACUUGUAUCAGAAACUGAAGCCUGAAAAUUCAUGGCAGUCAAGUAAGAUGUGAACUUUGAAUUCCACGCCCUUGGAGCUUGUUUCAAACCAUAUAGGGAUUUGAUUAAUUUGCACACAUGAGUGGGAUGGGAUGCAUCGACAAACCCUUGUGGUUGUUUCAUGUAAAUCUCUUCUUGCAAGUCACCGUGCAAGAACGCAUUUUUAAUGUCAAGCUGUCGAAGUUUCCAAUGGUUACUUGCUGCUAAGGCCAAUACAAUCCUCACCGUAGUAUGCCUCACUACCGGACUAAAGGUAUCCAAGUAAUCAAUACCUUGUUCCUGAGAAAAUCCUUGAGCCACAAGCCGUGCUUUAUACCUGGAAACACUGCCAUCAGGAUUUUUCUUCACUUUAUAUUAAGGGUAAAAAUGUAAUACGUUAGUAAUAUAGUUAGGUAGUUAGUAUUUGAUUAAAGUGGUUAGGAUUUCUAUAUAAACUGUUGUCUCAUAGUUGUAAAUAUUCAUUCAAUCAAUACAAUUCCUAUUCUCUCUAAACACUCUCUCUCUCUCUAGAAUCUCUCUUGUUUCUCUCUGCCUUCUUCCUCUUUCUCUGUACAAAUCCUUCAUCUUUGCAAUGUAGUUAACAUGGUAUCAGAGCCACCAGGCUCACGCCAUGAUUCUGGUGGCUCACGCCAUGAUUCUGGUGGUUUCUCUUCGUAGUAUACAUUUUUUUUGUUUGUUUUGGUUCAGUUUCUCUUCAAUUUCCAUUAGAUUUUUCGUGCUUCUGCGAUUGUUUGUGGGUUGAUUUUUCGGCGUCUAAGCAUGCGGCAUACAGAACGGUAGAGAAUUGGAGGACAUCGAGCGGAAGAAGAAGAUCAAGAUCAUGCCUCUUUCAUAUUGUGAUUUGGUAACGGGGGAAUCCUCUGGUUUCUUAGAGAGAUGGGUUGUUUGGAUGUUUGGGAAAUAGGUCGAUGCAUGACUAAUUCUUUGCAUUGUUGAUUGAGAUCUUGGAUUUCUAGAUGCUAUUUUCUGCGAUUUUGAUCCCUGCUAUGUUCCCUGGUAUGGAAGAACGUUUAGACCUAUGUGCAGCCCAAGUGCUUGACGAAUUGCCCAACUCAAAAUUGCAAAUCUGGGUUGCUCGAAGAUUGGGUAUCUGGGUGGCUUGUCGAUUGGAUGUCUGGAGUUCAGUGCUAUUUGACGAUCUGGUGAUGCUUGUGUGGUGAUUCAGGUGAAUUUGUUUCUAUUUCUUGAAUCUCGAUUCUAUAUGCUGCUUUUCUCUGAAGUCGUGGUAUGUGUUUGUUCUUGAUUUCCUGGUUUGUUUGAAGCAAAGAUUUGGGGGUUCUUGAUUUAUGGAUAGAAUUGUGAUAUGGUGAUGUCUGAAAGGAUCAUUCUUUCUGUAUCUUUUCUUGGAGUAUAAUUCUCUAAAAUUUGUGAAUAUGUUGGGAUUUAUAGUUUAUGGGUUUGAAGAAGAAAGUAGCAGUCUUUCUGUGGAUUUUUGGAGUGUCAUUCUCCUGAGUCAAAGUGUUUUCUGUGAAUCUUGGAGUGUCAUUCUCCUGAUUCGAAGUGUUCAGGUGCUAACUGAGGAGUUGUGCAAUAUGUCCCUUAUCACAGCCUAUAAUGUCGAGUCUAACCAACUCAGUUGUUAGCAUGAAUCUACAGUAAGUCCGGUUAUACGAUGAAGUUUGAAGAAGUUGUAAACGGUAAAUCCCACGAAGGGUAAUUCCGUGUUUUGAGUAGGUAAAUCCCACGAAGGGUAAUCCUACAUAGAUGUUGAUUUUCAGUUGUUGAAAUUGUGAAGGCCGAUGCCAUUGUUCGAAGUACUUGUUUUUUUUUUUUUGGUAAAAUCCACAAAGGGCGAUCCCGUGGUACUAUAGUUAAGGCCGAUGCCACACUAUAGUUUUGUUAAUUUUCUGUUUUAAAGGCCGAUGCCAAUGUUAAAUGAAGUUGAUGCCGGUAAAUCCCACGAAGGGUAAUCCCGUACGAAAUUGUUAUAACCGGCCUGAGGGUGUGUUACAACUUUAUAAGAGGCUGUUUUUCGAUUGAAGCUCCUGCGAGAGGCAGAGGAAUAUUGGAUGUUUUGGAUGGGAAGAUUGUAUCUACAAAAGGUGUAAAUUUCUAUCUGGUUUGCAGUGAAGAUCCUAUUAAAAGGCAGAGGAAUAUUAGACUUUUGGAUGUGCUUCCUACUGAGCUUGCAGAUUGAGUUUGUUGCAGUGAGUCAGUGAAUAUAUUUGGGGCAGAUUGAUGUUCACUGCUGCUCUGCAGCUAUAACAAACUCGUUAUUCAGAACAGGUUCGAGAUCAUUUCCAUAUUUGCAGAAUCAAGGUUGCAGUUGGUUCAAGUUGUUCUGUUUUUCUGGGUUUCCUAACAGUGAUUGCAGUUGUUCUUCCAAUCUCAAACUGGGUUACCCCAGUUGAGAUUGAGGGGGAGUAUUAAGGGUAAAAAUGUAAUACGUUAGUAAUAUAGUUAGGUAGUUAGUAUUUGAUUAAAGUGGUUAGGAUUUCUAUAUAAACUGUUGUCUCAUAGUUGUAAAUAUUCAUUCAAUCAAUACAAUUCCUAUUCUCUCUAAACACUCUCUCUAGAAUCUCUCUUGUUUCUCUCUGCCUUCUUCCUCUUUCUCUGUACAAAUCCUUCAUCUUUGCAAUGUAGUUAACAUAUGUAUGUAUAUGUAUGUAUGUAUAUUUAUAUGUGUACAAGUUGGUUCUUGAACGAAAGCAUCCAUAUGCCAUGCACGUACAAAAAAAAAAAAUCAUUUUCACAAACGCUAACAUGAAAUUUUCUUAAUUGAUAUGCAAUCUAUCUACAAGAUUGUUCUUGUACGAAAGUACCGUUGCUACUAAAGUGAAAGAUGCAAUAAUUUUUGUGUAUUACAUUUGAAAGAAAAGAAGGGAAAUUAUGUUGUGUGCAAGAACCACACAUUAACUAACCAUGCAAUCGAUCUUCCCUCUGUAGAAAUUAAGCAGCUAGCUAGCUAGUAAAUAGCUUGCCAUGCAAAUGCUUAACUUCCCACCUUGUACGUAUUUUGAAUUCGAAGUUAUGACAUUCAUGAAUUUAUCAUUUCUUGAACUUAUAACCAAAAUUAAAGUGAUAUUUAGGGUCUGAAAUCUGUACUUUCUUAUCUGGCUGGGACAAAUUGUUGACCACCAUGGAGGCGUCAACAUAAAUCCCGAUUGGAUCCGGCAAUACAUUGUACGCUCCGAGUCCUACAUUGACCGGUACCCUAACCGAAACAGCCACAGGGAUCCUGCCACUCUUGAUUUUCUGCAUAAGUGACUCCCCGAUAGGGCCCUUAAAGUCACUCCCUUUCAAGUCUCCUCUCAAGUCCACGUCCAUCAAGGUGGUAUUUCUCGUCGGUUGACGAAAAUGUGGGACCACCCCGGUACAAAGUUUCAUCCCGGAAUACUUGAGCUGCACGGUGCUGCCCUUCCCAUAUACAAUGGAUAUUCUUUUGUUGGGAUUCUCGGCCUUUACCGUGACCACAAAUUGCGCAUGGAGGCUGUAAUCAGGGGUGAGGUUGAAUGCCUUGACAGAGAAGUCACUAAUACUGUAUUUGGGCUUACGGGGAUUGAUAAUUACUAGGCUGAUGGCCACGGCAGCGAUGAUUACCACUAGGGUUACGAAGAUGCAACAACAACACCAACAGUAGCAUCUCAGACAACUGUUUUUGCGGCGCCCAUUAGGGCGGUACUGGCCAUUAAAGCGAGGAGGAUUGCGGCCAUUGGGACCUGGAUAACCUGGAUCUUGAUGCAUCAUGUGUGGCGGUGGAUGUUGGUUAGGACCAGAGUGCAUAAUAUAUGAUAAUUUUCGAUUGUAUGACUGGGUAGCAAUAGCAAUUGAAUCAAGUACGUAUGUACGUACUUAAUCCUUCAAUUACUUAAUGUGCAUUCAUAGAUUGUACGUAUGUUUUAGGUAAGUAUUUAGAGAUCGAAGAAGAAAGAGAGGUACUUGAUCUAUCUUCUUCUUCGAUCUAAUGAUGAUCAGGUGGAUGAUGGAGCCCGAAGGUGGCCGUCAAGGUGAGGAAGGGGAGGUGGGAUUUUUUUGCAGGGAUAUAUAUGGGGAUUUCCAUUGGUUAAGGACAUUGUUACAUAUGUGUGGAUAUCGUCAAACAUUUGACUCCUGCUGGCCUUGUAUUGUAAUUGUGCGUCAAAACGGGUUUUGUGGGUUUCAAAACUCACAACACCAAUUUUCUAUUUUAGGCUCAAAAUAAUCCGCUAAAUUUACUGCCUUUUGGUGUAAUUGUAAACUUUCUAAAGAGUUUAGGCUUCGUAAUAAAAUUAAUUGGCAAUAUAGGAGUCAUCCAACCUCUUAUAAGUCCUUACAAGGUUUCUCCUAGUAUGGGGAAUAGUCCAACCUCUCAUAAGUGAUUUCUCAUUGUAUGGGUAGUAGUCCAACCUCUUUUAUAAGUCCUUACAAAGUUUUUUCUUUUACCGAUGUGACUUUUUUAGCUUUACAUCUUCACACGCCCGCUCAUGUAUAUGGCAAAUUUUCAAACCGAACAUGUGAACAACAUAAAUUAGAUGACAUGGAACAUGUGUGACUGUUAAGCUUCACACAUAGACCAAUUUGUUUUUAUAUCAUGUAAAAUUCACAUGUAGGCCAACUUGCUUUUAUACCAAGUAAACUGUGUAAUUCUCAUUGAUUUCUGUAAUGCUACUGUACAUCGUUUUAUACAAAACAGAUACAAGAGUCCUAUCUCAUCGAGAAAAUUACAUCUGAAGUUUAAAAUACAAUUCAAAUAUACAAAGAGAAUUAAGAGAAUUAUUUCUCACUAACUGCUCUUACUAACCGUAAAUGAAUGCAAAUGUUAAUUGAACUGAUUUGGAUAACUUCAUAAUUAGUUACAAUUUAGUCGAAAUUACAUAUAUACAUAAACCAAAUUGAUCUCCUUGUUGGAAUUUAUUAGGUUUAUUUAGGAAAUUAAUUAGAGAUUUGAUUUUGUAGUAGGGAAUUUUUGGCAUUUACACAUUAGGGUUUCUUAGGUUUAUUGCUCUAUAAAUAGAGCUUAUAAUUUAGUUUGAGAUCAAGUCAUUCACAAUGUAAUCUCUUAGGGUUUUGUAGUCGUUUCGGCAUUCUCUUUUGUUUAAUAAUAUUCUUAUUUUGUAGCCUUAUUCAUUGCGCACUCUGAUAUUCAACUUGGUAUCAUAGCAUGUUCGAUUCUUCGGAAUUUAAUCUGUUCUAGAUGGGUAUCAAUUUGUUCAUUCAUUUGUCCACUGCGUAUCAGUUUGUCAUGAAGUUAGAUUGAAAAUUGGCAUUGGCAUUGACAUUGGCACUGGCACUAGCACUGGGAUCUGAAGUCUUGCAUCCACAUCUACUUUGGCAAACCCAUGUCGUGUUCCGCCAUGAGUUUGACGGCGGGUGUUGGAAUUUAAUAGGUUUAUUUAGGAAAUUAAUUAGAGAUUUGAUUUGAUUUUGUAGUAGGGUAUUUUUGGCAGCGGGUGUUGGAAUUUAUUAGGUUUAUUUAGGAAAUUAAUUAGAGAUUUGAUUUGAUUUUGUAGUAGGGUAUUUUUGGCAUUUAUGCAUUAGGGUUUCUUAGGUUUAUUUCUCUAUAAAUAGAGCUUGUAAUUUAGUUUGAGAUCAAGUCAUUCACAAUGUAGCCUCUUAGGGUUUUGUAGCCGUUUUGGCAUUCUCUUUGGUUUAAUAAUAUUCUUAUUUUGUAGUAUUGUUGUUGGAAAAUAUUUGUAUUUUGGUUUAUUUGAAUGUUUGGUUUUCUAGGCUUAACCCAUUAGCAUUAGGUUUCGGUUUCUUACCUUUUAGGGUUAGGGUUAGUUUAUUAUAAAUAGUAUGCUUGUUAUUCAGUUGAGUACAAGUCAGUCAUAAUGUAGUCUCUUCGGGCUUUGUAGCCGUUCCGGCAUUCUCGUUAGUUUAAUAAUAUUCCUAUUAUUCUUGUUAGUUUUGUUCGUUGUGCACUCUGAUAUUCAACUUGGUAUCAAAGCAGGUUUGAUCCUUAGGGAUUUAAUCUGCCCUUGAUUCGUAUCAGUUUGUUUGUUCAUCUUGUUCCUUGUUAGAUUGUCGUUGGUUUAGUUUUUUUUUUUAAAAAGGUUGAAUUUGUUUGCUUGGGAGGGCCGAGGCACACCGUGCUAAACCCAGAUCCCCAGUUCGAGACCACCACGAAUCUGCAUCUGUCUGCAACGUACCUGCACCACUUGAAUUUGCACCUGCUCGAACCGCUGCAAUCAUUGCAGCCAAGUUCAAUGAACAGGACCACUGUCGCACCAUUACACCUGCAGCUUGACGUGCUUUUGCGACCCCGUUCGAACCCGCCUGCAUCCGCAUCGGCACCCAGAUUUGUAGUCGUUGUUGCCCCACGUUGCUGCAGUCCGGCCUGUUUACAUCUAGAUCUUGUUCCUGCACUUGCAUCAUUGCACUCUUGUUUUUGCAGGUUCUAUGGAGAAGACUGUAGAAAAGAGGAAAAGAAAAGAAAAAAAAAAAGAGAAAAAGAGAAGAAAAAAGGAAUAAGAAAAAAGAGGGGGAUUAAAAAAAAAAGGAGAAAAAAAAAGGUAGAAAAGAAUAAAGACAAAAAACGUUGGUUUUUUGUUUGAAGGCCCACACGGGCAUAAAGAAAUAUAUGGUCUGUUUGGUUGGAAUUUUUUUUUUAUUGUUUGUUUGGAAGUUGGUAUUGAUAUCGGCAUCGGCAUUGGAAUUUGAAGGCUUGCAUCCACACCUGCUUGUUGGCAAACUCAUGUCGUGUACCGCCAUGAGUUUGACGAUGGGUGUUGGAAAAUAUUUGUAUUUUGAUUUAUUUGAAUGUUUAGUUUUCUGGGCUUAACCCAUUAGCAUUAGGUUUCGGUUUCUUACCUUUUAGGAUUAAGGUUAGUUUAUUAUAAAUAGUAUGCUUGUUAUUCAGUUGAGUACAAGUCAGUCACAAUGUAGCCUCUUAGGGUUUUGUAGCCGUUCCGGCAUUCUCGUUAGUUUAAUAAUAUUCCUAUUAUUCUUGUUAGUUUUGUUCGUUGCGCACUCUGAUAUUCAACUCUUGUUCGUUGCGCACUUUAAUAUUCAACUCUCCCUACUAUCCGAAAUUACCAAUUAGCAAUGAAUUUUCAACUUAUCUCUAAUUAACAUGUAAUUAUAUACAAGCAACAUUCACUUAAGAAUCACUUCCUACAAUGAAGCCGGCAAUACUCGAGAUUUAUAACUUCCAGAUGUAAGAAUAUUUACUCAUGUACAAGAUUCUUAAUUAGCUUGUGCACUGGGUACGACAAGAUUCUUAAUUAGCCUAUUUUCAUACCACUGAGAAAUAAAGAAAAGAUUUAAUUCCUCCGCGGCGUUGGAGAGGAGGCGCGGAUGGCCUCCCGGCAGUUACAAGAUGGGUAAGCUCCAAUUCGAUAGAAUGACGACACGAGCUUCACGGCAGCAGUCUUAACUUUACAAGCCACCUUGUUUAACUUCAUACAUCUUGAGCGUUGUGACUUAUCGGGUGAUUCAAACCUGUAGGAGUUUAGGAAUAUCUGGCGCUUCCGCUUGGCUCGGUCCUCAUUAUUCCUCAACGGAAUUUGUGCCACUUUCUUACGCUUAAACUACAUUGAUCUCCUCCCUCCAACACCAUGCCUGUUUGCACUUGUCUUCACUCGAUCCAAUGGCUCGUAACUAUAAAUAUCAAACCGCCGGCUCAUGCUGGUGGUGCCGCUGCGGACUAGACCGUCCAUGGCUGUAUAUAUGUGCUCAACUAUGGAUGCUAAUAGUGAGAUCAAUUAUUGAGCCGGAGAAGAUUUUAGGUUGCUAUAGCCUAUUGCAGUUCACUUUGAUCUUAUAUACAAGCAUAAGUAAAGAAUUUUUACUUUUUAGUGUUUGAAACAGCAAGUCAAAUACACACAGCAACCACCAGGAACGUCUUUCAGUAUUAUUUGUACUACCAUAAAAUUACACUUGGCUAUGUUGGGACGAGAUAUUUUCAAAUUUUAAGCAAUUGAAGUAAAGCUAUUUAGUAAGGAAUGGAUUACCAAAUGUUGAUGGGGGAUGGGAAAAUCCUCAUAUGAGCAUUAUUGUAAAUGUUGGAAUUUUUGGAUCGCUGGGCCCGCCCCACUCUAACGACACCGAUACUGUCCCCACUUAAUCACCUGCACAAUCCUCAGGUGUGGGGUUUUACCACAAAAGGCCUCGGUAUUAGUUAGAGUGGGGUAAUACUAUUUAAACCCCUUUGGUUUUCUUCACCCCACCGAUGUGGGACAGUUUAACACUCCCCCUCACGUGUAACCUCAUUUAGUGGUUUACACGUGGAGAUCCACAUCGGUGAUUGAAACUCAGAGGUCGGCUGACGUUGGGCCCACUUGUUUUCAAUUGGAACUCAGCGGUCGUCUCUAUAUUAAGAGCUCAGACUUGUUUCCUUCCGGGUGGUGACAAGCUCGUUGGCUUGCACGGGCCCGCAACCGUGGGCUCUGAUACCAUGUUGGAAUUUUUGGAUCGCUGGGCCCGCCCCACUCUAACGACACCGAUAUUGUCCACACUUAACCACCUGCACAAUCCUCAGGUGUGGGGUUUUACCACAAAAGGCCUCGGUAUUAGUUAGAGUGGGGUAAUACUAUUUAAACCCCUUUGGUUUUCUUCACCCCACCUCAUAUGAGCAUUAUUGUAAAGACAUGUGAGAGAGAUUUGCAAAUCACUACUUAAAAUGAGUCAUUUACAAGUCUCUCUCACAUGUUUUUGUAAUGCUUAUAUGAGAAUUCUUUUUAAUCCCUCCUAUCAACAUUUUGUGUUCUAUUUUAUAAACUAGACUUUAAUCUCUUAAGACUUGGAAAUUCCUCACACAAACAUAGCAUCAGGAAAUGUACCAGAUUGUUUUUUAUUACAUAUAAGAUCAUUUAUACCUAAUUUUUAGUCCUACCUAUGAAAAUUCAUGUGUGUGGUUGUCACAAAUAUCUAGUGUUACUAAUUCACAUACUUAAUUUAAUAAAAAAGUACGACAUAUAUUUUAGGGCAUAGACUAACGUGGUAGACCAAUUGAGCAUAACAAUGUCCUCGAUUUUUUCAUUCAUAUUCGAAUCCUUCUAGUAGAAUAUCAUUUUGUUAACAAAAAGUGUAGUAUAAGAUGUCCAAUAGCCAAAUUAAGCACAACUACAAGCAUGGAUCUGACCAUCAAUAUUUUGGAAUCCCAAUUACAUGGGAGUUCCCUUUCCUGACAUUUGACCAACAAGUGCAUAGGAUUUAAUUAGAUAGGUGUAAAAUAUUCGAUGAUUUCAAGCAAAGUAUUUCUAACUAGAAGUGCAACAUAUGUAUUUUUAUAUUGACUUUGGAUUUUGCUUACGAAUUUGAAAGCCUUUCUUAUAACAAAUAACAAUACGAUAAACGAUGUCCAUUACAAAAACGAUAAGAUCGAUCGAUAAUCCAUUUGCUUUUUCAAAUGGGCUAAUUGGACUGUUAGACUAAAAAACAAAUUAAAAAGCACACACCAGAAUAAAAUUAAACAUUUCCCUAACCUGCAUCCUUUGGAGAAAAAGCUUAAUAAAAAAGAAAAGCACAUUGUUCUUAUCUAAAGAUUCAAGAUAUAUCGAUCUUCUACAUUUUCUCAUCCGAACUUUAAGUUUACCAGAUUUGAGAAGAGGACCACCAAUUUUGAGAGCUAUAUAUGGGAUGGACCUACUGGUGCUCAUCUAUUACAUGUACUGCAGGCUUAAUCUGCAGCAGCCAGCAGUACCCAGGCUUUUAGGCCUUUAACUAGCUUAAUUAAUAUAGGCAUCAUGCAUUUGCGUCUGGAGAAAAAUAUUUUUUUUAUCACAAGUUAUAUACAAUCAGGCAUAUGGUUUUAUUAUUAUGCAAUUAGUUAUGUGAUUAGUGAUAGACACAUGCAUAAUUGUGUAUAACGAAUGACAACUAAUAAUUUUAUUGAAAAUCUCUUAUCGGUGAAUCAACAAAAAUUACAAUAUGUAAUAAAAGCAACCUCACACCUCGCACAGCUAGGCAUGUGGGAGAUAAUUGUGAAAGAGAGAGUGGAGAACUAUUGGCCCGUCUCUUUGAAAUUUAAUAACUUUUUCUCCUAUGUUAAGAAUAUGCAAUACUAGCCAGUGACCACCUAACAAAGGGGCUUCACAUUUGAGACGGUCCAUGAAGAACAAUAGAGUAGCUUAUAAAGUUCACCAAAUAUAGCAGCUACCUAUCCAGCAAGCGGAGAUGUUAUUAAUGGAAGUCACAGGCUCCCAGCAGAUCCGCAGUGCCAAAUUUAUUAUCAAUCUUAACCUUCAAUUUUCAUUUGUACCAAAAUACAUAAAUUAAUGAAGCUUGCAUUUAUGGCUGUGUAUGCGUUUCCAAAGUCUGAGUCAGAGCAGUUCACGUAAAAGAAAGCACCAUUUUAAUUCAGUAAAUUCUUGAGCAAUUAGCCGUAUCACCAUUCUUCCAUGGAACCACAGAGGCAAAGCUUGAUGAGUCCUGUGACUAUCUGUUACUUAAACAUGCAAAUCUCGUAGCUUUCAUGUGACCUCUUCUUUUCAUACCACUUUCUCCUGUGAUUUGGUUCAAUACUUUCUUCUUAAUUUUUCUCAUUUCUCCAGCCUCAUUCCUCUAUAUAUUCAUCUCCUUCAACCCUUUUCUUCUUACCAAUAUCUCAAUCCCACAACAUCCUCUCUAGCUUGCAAAACCCUAUUGUUUUCCGAAACAAAAGAAGAAAAAAGAAGCAAAAUUAAAAAAAAUCAUGAAGGGUUCAAUUUGUGUAGCUACAUUUGUUGUUGUCCUUCUUUUCCUUCCACAAGCCAUGUCCGCAAGGCGCAUAGCUCGGCCUCAUUCACGUAUGAUUACUCUGGAUUAAACUUAUUUAUUAUAAACUGUAAUUAAUUAACAUUAAACAAGUCUUCGUUUUUCUUUUUUUACAUUUUUUCUGAUGAUAAAAUAUGUCAUGCAGAUCAUCAUGGGCGCCAUCUGAAGAGUACAAUUAGAGAAGCAUUGGUGGAGAAAAAGGCAAGUAAUUAUAAGAGAGUUAGGGGGCCAGAUACAGUCCAAGUGGCAGGGUCGAGCUUGCCAGAUUGCUCCCAUGCUUGUGGAUCUUGCAGACCAUGCAGACUAGUGAUGGUGAGCUUUGUUUGUGCAUCAAUCACUGAGGCUGAAGCAUGUCCAAUGGCUUACAAGUGCAUGUGCAAAAACAAGUCUUAUCCUGUUCCUUAGUUUCACUUGUUCAUCACUGUGAUUAUUCAACAUCAACUAAUUUAGUCAAAUUUUCCUUCUUUUUGAACCCUCCAAUUUCUUUGCUAGGUAGAGAUUUUGUGUAACCAGAGUGUUUGUUACUGAUGUUUAAUAUUAUAAAAUCACCAAAGACUCGAAUUUUCUUCGUUCAGUGGGUUCAAAAUUAUCUAAAGUUUAAUCUUCACGAAGAGCCUUUUAUGUUCUCUAUUUCAUAUGUAACAAGCCACGAAAGUAAAUUAGCUUAAGCAUAUAAGGAGCUCCAUCCUCUGGCAACCAGCAUCUUGGAUGUUAAAAUUUUAUGAGUAAAAGAUGGAACUAAAAAAAUACAACACAAGUUUAGGUAUUAAUAUGGUGCUGGAUCGCCUUUGCUGAUAUACGUAGCAACGUUGAGUUGAAGCUUAUUAUUUUCGGCGACCGUCACAACUCUAGCCCUUUUUUGGAUGACUUAAGGUAUUUCUGGGCUUUGUUACAUUUGUAUGGCCAUUGCCCCAAAGUUACAGAAAAAAGAGGGGUGGGGCAUGUUAAAAUUAGUUAAGCAUGACAUUAAAUAACACUCUUAAACACUUCAACUGUGAUAUUCAUCAUAUAAAAUAGCACUCUUUGUGUCAUAAUGAUCAUGAAGAACGACCUCCAACAACGCAUUUAACACUCAAAAUGAACAGUUUGUAUAGGUUGUAACUUGUAGUGGAUUGACUAUUUAUGUAAUCUCAUGUUAAUUUUAUGAACGUAAGAUCAUUGUGGAUUUUGAUAAUGAAUAAUCGAAUAAAUCAUACGGAAGUCUAGCCAAUUAUAAUUAUUAGAAAAAUUAUAAAAAAAAGAAGAAAUAAAGGGCCAAAAUUACACCAUAACUAGAUUUCAAACUCAAAUACGUAUAGGUGAGCAUAUAAUUUAUAUCGUCAUGUUUAUGUUUGUGAGUCAAAUGAUUUUAGUUUGUACAUUUAAACCCGUGUUAGAGUAACAUAAUUUUGCACGUGCGAGGCCACAGGGAAAAGAACAAACCCGCCAAGGCCAAAAGAGAAGCACCGGAGGGAGAGCAAAUGUCUAGGCUGGUUUGCAGGAAAUUGACUGGUUUGAUAUGACAGAUUGACACAAAACUUCCCAAAACAAAACAAUUCCUUUUUUGAAUGCAAGAAUGCAAAAUUGUUAACUCUAAAAAAAACAAAAAAAGGGAUAAUGUCAUUCUUCCUCCUCCUCCUCCUCCUCCUCUUCGUUCUGUAUCAUUCCUGCUCCCACCACCACCACUUUCUUCCAGCGGGCCCUGCCGUGACACCAUCAUCGCCAACAGAACCACCACCGCCAACAUGUCUCCUCAGAUGCCAUAGCAGGUAUUCUCUCUCUCUCUCUCUCUCCCUCCUCUAUGGAUUGUAUGUUGCAACGUACAUAAUAUUUGUCUUGUAUGUCAAUGCUAUGAGUGCCGAGGUACCCACCCACCUCACCUUUUCAGAAAAGUUUCAAUCCUUGAUCGUAAAUUAUGCAAAAGGAAGGCCAUUAAUUGUGCUAUUAAUCUUUUCCCUCUAAAAAGUUCCCAUCUUCAAAGCUUUUGGGGCACCAAGCAAUUAUGCCAUGAUUCCAUUCCUUGAUUUUCUGUGUUUUUCCUUAAAGUGAUUUGGGAUAGAAAAAAGGAGAAAAAGCUGAAUAAUUGUGAGGUUAAAUUAUAGGAGAAUACUGAAGAGCAUGAGUUGUUGAGCGCAAUCAUUUUGCCUUUGCCACCAUUUUUUUUUCAUAUACUUUUUGUUUUUGGCCUUUUCGCUUUCGGUUAAGGAGGGUGAAAGAUUAUCUCUUUCUCUUCCUCUUUCUGGAUUUUAGCCUCCUCAUGAGAUCAAGGAAGCGUAGACAAUGCUUUCCUUCUUGCUCUUCCUUUCGCAAAGUGAGCUUUUAAUUAGUCCCAUCUCUCUUUCUGUUUGUGAAUCGAAGAUUCGUGUUACUAACUGUUGAUUUUUUCUCCCAUUGAUAUUUACUCUUAGAGCCUUUUCUAAUGGUUCAUGACAGGUUUUGUUUUUACUUUUUCCUCAGAACGUGUUUAUAUCAGUUGAACGAUUUUAUUUUUCGUUGUGUUUGCCACAUUUUUAAGGAGUUAGAACUUUGCCUUUCGUUUGUGUGCUCUACGUGCUCUGUUGGCUUCUAAAUGUUUGAUGUUAUCACAUUAGACUAGAGGUUAUUGGAUCGGUCCAUAAUUUGAAACCUUUUCUAUGCUAUCGUGUGUUAUGUGCAACGAUUUAUAAGUAUUGAAAUGCUACCGAAUGUAGGUUGAUGAGGAUGAAAAUUAUAGGAGACGGAAAAAGUGCAAUGAAGAGUUGGAAUGGCCACACAAUUCAACUCAUGUCAAAUCGCAGUUAACUCAAUGUUUUAGUGAGUGGAGUGUUUCUCUUCCAUUCAAUUCUUCUUUUGGUUCCCAACAGAGGAAAACUGUGUCUCAUGUAUUUCUAUCAAUAAUUAUGGUGACGACAUUUACUUCGAAAUGACGAACAGAACGCCUUUAGUUCAUGCACACAUUUCAUCUGUUAUAUCGUAUGCAAUUGACGGCUUGAAGCAAAUCUCUUGAAUUGUAAUAUCCAUUGUAUACACUGAGACCAAUGCUACUGAUCAAGUUCUUCUUAAACUACCAAAACUUUAUAAUAAAAUGUGUACAUAUGAUCCUAUUACACUCUGUUCACAAAAUUUCAGUUUUCACUAACGAGUUUUUAGCCGUUGUAGUUAAUGCUAUGGUUGGACCACGAUCAUGGACAGGACUAUUUACGCGGUCAAAUAACAGACGAAAUGACUCCUUAAGUCCUUUUCAGGUAUAUAGUUGUGGUGUUCCCUUGCCAACUUUUGCUUCUGAUGUUGAAUUUGUUUAUGAACAGUUAAUUUCUAAGGACUUGUAUAGAUAUAUGUGAAACUGCCGUAGAGUGUGAAAUAGUAUGACAUUGUCACUUUGUAUUUAAAAGCUUUCUUGGAAUUUCUGAAGACUUAAGCAUGCAAUUCUAGCUUUGGUCACUUUUAGGUUCUUAAGUUAAGUACUUUGGUGUUACCCACCUUACUGGACUUCCAAUGAAAUUUUCAACUUCUAUAUACAGGAACAGAGACUUCUGAGGCUUCAAGCACGAUUACAAGUACCUUUUGACGAGAAUCGCCCUGAUCAUCAAGUAUACUCUUCAUGCUGGUUCUGAACAUGUUUUUUUAUUAUUACUCUUGUCCAUUGUUGUCUUGGUUUAAUGUGGCUAAAAUGAGCUACGAUAGAUUCUGAUGACCGUACAUUGUUUAUUUCAUUAUCUAUGAUUCGAGUCUGCUAGAGAAACGAUUUGCUAUCAUGACUAAACCAUUUGAUUGCAAUUUAGUUUUCAUGCCGAAUCUUCAAUAGCAGUACAAGAUUUAAAUCUUAUCUUGUGACCAUUAUGCUUCAGGAAGCCUAAACCCCUUUUCGAUAGCUAUUUGGUUCUUCAUCGUUGAAUAAGUCUACGUUAUUCCAUUUAACUUCAGGAAGCCUUGAAAGCAUUGUGGCAUGCUGCCUUUCCAGAUGUUGCUCUGCAAGGUCUGAUCUCCGACCAAUGGAAAGAGAUGGGUUGGCAAGGUUCUAACCCCUCUACCGACUUUAGGUACAAUUCUAUCCAAUUGAAACAAAGUUAGUCUGACAGUUUGAAAUUGAAAUACUUCGUCUUAUUACUAGACUGUACUAUUGCAAUUCCAUAGUUUAUCCUCUUAUAGUGAAAUGCUCUCUUCAGGGGUUGCGGUUUUAUCUCCCUCGAGAACUUGCUUUUUUACGCCAGGACUUAUCCAGUAUGCCCUCUUGACCUGCAAAUAUUCACAUCUUCUCUUUCUGUGUUUUAGCUUACUAAUCAUAUAAAAUUCAAAAUGAAGGCAUCUUUCCGUAGGUUAUUGUUCAAGCGAGAUGGAAAUCGAGCAACUUGGGAAUACCCGUUUGCUGUUGCUGGCAUAAAUAUAUCAUUUAUGUUGACUGAAAUGCUGGAUCUUUGCUCAGGUUUGUAAAGAAGUUCUAACAUCUAUACCAUGAAUAGAUUUUCUUAUCAUGUUUAAUUGUAACGUUAAAUUGAAAUCAUCUUCUUUCUUGAAGCAAUUCAAACCAUCUGUUUCACAAAAUUUUAUAUAAGGAAAGUUCUUGAAUCUUCCUCGUCUCCUCAUAUACUUUGCAGAAAAACCAAGGUGUCUUCCAGGAAUAAAUUUCGUGAAACUAUUAGGAGGUAAAUGUACAUCUCAGAUAAGGUUAUGCUCAAAUGUCUUCUGUUUGGUUACAGAUCAAAUGUCUUAAGAGUUAGAGAACUGUUAAAAAACAACACAGGUUACUGAUAUCGACCCUCAUGAAUUAUGAGUUGCUUGCAGAAGAUGAAGCCGCCUUUGAUGUACUGUAUUGUAUAGCUUUCGAAAUGGUUGAUGCUCAGUGGCUCGCAGUGAAUGCGUCCUACAUGCAGUUUAACGUAACUCUCUCGCUCUAAGCAUGCACAUUAUCACAAGCAUGCGCGCACAACUUUCUAAUGUUCGAAUUCCUCAGAAAUCAUGCCUAGCAUUUUCAACACUUAUCAAAUAUUAGAAAAAUGUAUUUGAAACCUAGAAUUCUACAUAUUAUCCUCGGCUGUAAUAACUACUUAACAAGAUAUACUUUAACUAUCCCAUACCAACGAGAACGUGCGAACCUCAUCUAUUUGUUUUUCAAUAUGCCCUUUAGUUAAUGCUGGUUUAUAUUUGUUCACUCGUUUCUUAGUUUAUCCUUGAUAACACAUCUUCCUGGUAAUUUCAAACUCUUUAACCAUUAGAGUUGAGCAUUCAUUGCAACACAGCUUCUUGUUUAACUUAGGUCAUAUUGGCUUGUUUGUUUGAUGAGCUUUCCAAUCACUAACCCUUAAUUUUCUGCUUCAAUCGUUCAGGAGGUUCUACAAGCAACAAGGACGCAGUUGGAAAGGGAGCUGUCUUUGGAAGAUACUCAAAGAAUACAUGAUUUACCAGCUUACAAUCUAUUGUACCAGUAGCUAGCUUUAGAGGUAGUACAAAAUCCCCUUGAAAAUUUGCUUGAAUGGUUACUAGAUGGAAUGAAUAAUGAUGAUCAAACCAAGAAUUGAAAUGAUUUGAGUAUCUACAAUUAUUAUUGGAGAAAUUUUGUAAUGCUUCAAGCUGCGUAAUAACUACGUUAUCUUUCAAACUCUAUUCACCCCACAUCUAAUGUUAAAGCGAAUAUACAAAUAAGUUAUGUGGGUACAAUGAAGCCCAACCUAAUGGUAUGUGUUAUCGUUUUGUGUUUGUCAAACUUUUACUCUUAAGAUAAACCAAACACAGUGAGAGACAGACAAGAAUAUUCAAGACUUAACUAAAAACGUAAUAUUGCAUAGUUUAAUUUCUAGAGUCUUAAAUGUAAUAACAAUAUUUAGAUGGAACAUGCAUUUUGCUAGAAGUCUAGACAUAUUAAAAGAAAUAAUGGAUUUGAUUGUCUUCAAAUCUUUUGCAGACAAGAAUAUUCAAGACUUAACUAAAAACCUAAUAUUGCAUAGUUUAAUUUCUAGAGUCUUAAAUGUAAUAACAAUAUUUAGAUGGAACAUGCAUUUUGCUAGAAGUCUAGACAUAUUAAAAGAUAUAAUGGAUUUGAUUGUCUUCAAAUCUUUUGCAGUCUACCCCUAUGUAUGCAUCUCUUAGAAUGGUGUUGCAUGUACCACUUGGUUUUGGACACAAUUCUUGAUCAAGAUCUUGUUCUAGAAAACACUACGGCCAUUUCCUUGAUAUGUCAAUUUUAUCGGAACAAAAGUAAUCUACGCAUCUGUCAGUGUAUGCGAGAUAGUUCUAUCGGCUUGAUCUUGUCAAUGAAAGGUGAGCUGCUCAUACAGGUUAUGUCUUUUUUGAGUGCUACGUCAGUGGUCUUGAUGCGCUGAAAUUCGUGCAAUUGUUCUACUACGAGUCUUUGUACUUCUUCAUGGAUUUUCCUAUACUAAGGCAACAAAGCCUCUGACUACCUCCGGUGUUGACUUGCUGGUCUGUACUGUUCUUCUACUUAUCCUCCUGGUUUGUGUCGUGGCUACGGUGUACGUGGUUCAUCUCUGGCUGGUGAGCAAGCUGCUCGUAGUAGCUCUUGGCGUGGGUUGCCAAUUGAACUCGAGAUGGACUGCUCUCGUGUUUUCCUUUGUUCGUCGUGUUACCUACUCUGGUGCUUGAUAAGAGAAACUUCUUGCAGGCCUAGCCAUGAGUGGACACUUCAUUUGGAAUGUCUGGAAUGCUUGUCAUAGUAUGGACCCAACCGUGAAUGUAUGUUGAACUUAAGGGCUAAGUAGGGAAUGUACACUUCCAGAAUGCUUGGUUCAUGGCUGGUCAAAUGGCUAUUUGCUAAGACAUUGCUGGUAAGAGUCAUGAUGAUCUGCCCUUGUUCUGCUUUGGGAUACCUCGCCUGGGGCGAGCUGCAUCUCAAUGUGCUUCAGGAGCUGGUUCACCAUAGUCGUCUGCUGCGCAAGGGCACUGGUUAGGUCGGCAACCUACCAGGACAGGUGUUGUUCGCCAUUUGGGGUGAAAGAGCUCGGAUGAUGGGCAUCUCCGUAAGUGGUGGAAGUGUAAUGAGUUACAGGUGCAAAACUUGGGCCUAGAUAAAGCAAACCUAUGGAAAAAAUGGCAAAAUUACCCUUGGUCCAGUCACCGGUCCAAAAAUCAGUUACCCAACCUGAGUAAGAGCUAGUUUGGUGACUUGAAGCCAGGUCAUCUAAAAUGGCUUGAAAACCAGUAUAAGGACCUGUGGUUGGGUCGAUAGAGCAGGUUUGGCGCACGAGCAUGGAACCGUUUCGGCUUGGCCCGCUUAACCGUGGGCUAGAACCCGUUGGGCUUACACGUGGGUCGCCUGCCCUUGGGCUUGGAGUUUCUCUGCUAUUGCUCGCUAAGUUUGGGUCGUCUGGGCUACAUGGUUCGCAGCUGCUGCAAUGGACUGGGCUCAUGCCCGUGUCACCCUUGAGCUUCAUGCCUUAGGCUUUCUAUUCUAUGGACAUGAAUUUUAUGCCCAGGGUUUGUGGUUGCACCGUUAUAGGCUUAGGCUUUGGUUGCUCGACUUACAACAGGGGUUGCCAUCGCAUGGGCCUUUUGUCCGUGGUUUGUAGCUGCAACUACAGCGUGGGCUGUUGCUUGGUGGACGCGUAGUGGUUGCUAGGCAGCGGCCACAGUGGAGGUAAUGGUGCUCCACGGCGGUAGGGCACCACCUACCAUUGUGUUAUGUGUUGAGGAUCAUCGAUGUGGAGCAACAUCUUGGUAUUUGUUCUCCGACCCAAAUACUUGAACGUAGAGCAUUCCAUUCGUCAUGGUUCCAGAAUUUUCUACCAUUGUAUCCUUUCUCUAGGGACUAAUCAAGAAACUAUUCUUUGAAAAAUUAAAUGAUAUUGCGUGUGAGAAAUUCAAUAUAACAAAAUAUUCUAAAAAUCAAUUGCGAGAUUCUUCUUUGAGUGUUUGAAUCAAGCUCUCAAUGAAAGCACCAAUAUGUGGUAGCAAAAAUCCGAUGUCUUUAGUCUUGACAAAUUUGUACCUACAAAACAAUCAACACAUUUGAUUAAAGACCAAAGCCUUAUGUGCCCACAAGGCAGGGGUAGGGGGAGUUUGGCCAAUGGAUCGUCGAUGCCUAAGUUAGUUUCUAUGAAAAAAGUGAGUGUUUAAGGCUUGUAUGCGUAGGAAAAAGCUUGCCAAAAUUUGGUGGAGAUAGAGGUAUUUAUAGGAGGAGGUGGCUGACCAUGGGGUUAGGGUUUUGCCUACACAUGUUGGCAUCCUACUGGCUAAUGUGUGUCAUCCGUUGGAUGAAUGAGGCAAACACAUCCCCAAAAUAUUAAUUAAGAUAAAAUUUCUUGGGAUAAUGGUGGAAGUAUCCCUAAUUCAUUGUGAUAAGGAUUCAUUACUUGAUUGAGUUGAUCUUCAAUUGGGAAUGUAUUAAAGACAUGAUUUAGUAAUUAACCCUAUCUUUAAUACCUUUGACUUUUUCAUGCCAUGAGUAAGGCAGCUUUGAGUAGUCGUAGUCAGCUGCUUGGACACUUAGGGAUGUUGAGCUGCACGUGGGAACAGUGGAGGGUCCUGCCCAUUUAAUGAAGGCAAAAAAAAAUUCAGGUCUGGUAUUUUGAUUUUCUGAGAUUAUUUAUGUAAUUGUUGUUCAUCGAAUUUUCUUAGAUCCAAACUAAAAUAAUAACAUCCCUUUCAUAUAAUUUCCUAAUACAUAUAGAUAUAUUAACUUCACAUUUAAGAAAUUCUCCCCGAUCCCGAUCUAUCUAAAAAAAAAAAAAAAAAAGGUCGUACCCAGUGCACAAGGCUCCUGCUUUACGCAGGGUCUGGGAGAGGUGAAUGUCGGCUAGCCUUUCCCCCAUAUAUGGAGAGGCUGCUCCCAAGCCCGAUCUAUCUAAAAAAUAGUUAUAAUUCAUUUAUCAUAUUUACACAUACAUAAGAGCUUAUGCAUGAAGGAAGCCACAUAUUAUAUAUCAUAUUUUACUAAAUAGAUAUAUCCAUGUUAUGAUCCAAGUAUGAUUUUGAAUUGAGCUAUUUACUAAAAUGUACAAUAUUGAACAUUAAUCUGUUGUAGACUUAGCAUUAUUGAUUAGAGUAACGUAAUCAAUCCUUCAAGUAUAAAUUAUCAUAUUGUUUCUUAAACAAAUAGCAGUAAAUUUGUCGGCUAGUUAGUGCAUGUGCAUUAGGAGGUUGAUUAAUCCAUACAUUCAACAUAUUUCCAAUAAUUAAUUGAUUCCUUCAGCUUUAACUGCUACCUGCUACACCGAGUACUACACUUUACCAAAAGGUUUCAACAUUAUUGAGAUUAUAUAAUAGGGAUGUGAUAUCCACUCAUUACAUUUUACUUCUCACACACAUUUUUAAUUUUCGGCCGUCGGAUCGGAUAAAUUGAAGAAGAUCAACGGAUAGAAAUUAACAAGAAUGUGUGAGAAGUAAUUUUGGGUGUGUGGGUAGCACACCCCUAUAUAAUAUUCCCUUCUUUAUAUAACUCAUGUAUCUGAAAAAUAGUUAUAAUUCAUUUAUCAUAUUUACACAUAUAUAAGAGCUUAUGCAUGAAGGAAGCCACAUAUUAUAUCAUAUUUUACUAAAUAGAUAUCCGUAUUAUGAUCCAAGUAUGAUUUUGAAUUGAGCUAUUUACUAAAAUGUACAAUAUUGAACAAUAAUCUGUUGUAGACUUAGUAUUAUUGAUUAGAGUAACGUAAUCCCUUACGUAUAAAUUAUCACAUUGUUUCUUAAACAAAUAGCAGUAAAUUUGUCGGCUAGUUAGUGCAUGUGCAUUAGGAGGUUGAUUAAUCAACACAUUCAACACAUAUCCAAUUAUUAAUUGAUUCCUUCAACUUCAACCGCUACCUACAACACCUACUGAGUACUCCAGUUUACCAAAAGGUUUCAACAUUAUUGAGAUUAUAUAAUAUUCCCUUCUUUAUAUAACUCAUGUAAUUAGCACCACUUUCAAAAGUACUCUAUAGAUUGAAAUGCAGGAAGAACCAGAAAUUGAGGCAAGCCUAAGAGGCCAAGCAGAUAUAUGGAAGUACAUGUUUGGUUUUGCUGAUUCCAUGGCCUUAAAAUGUGCUGUGGAGCUACGCAUAGCCGAUAUCAUACACUCCCAUAGACCUAGUGAUGGUGCCUCAAACUCAAACCCUAUGAUCGCUUUGUCCCAAUUAGCCUCAUGCAUAGCACCCUCCCCAGACAUCACUUCCCUCACACGCAUCAUGAGACUUCUUGUCCGCCGGAAUAUAUUCGCCGUUCAUCACCCAUCUGAUGGCGGGGAACCUCUUUAUGGUUUGACACAUUCAUCAAGAUGGUUGUUACAUGACGCAGAGCUGAGUCUAGCGCCUAUACUUAUGAUGAAUAAUCACCCCUGCCUAAUGGCGCCUUGGCACUAUUUCAGCCGAAGAGUCAAAGAAGGAGGUCCAUGUGCCUUUGAGAUGGCCCAUGGGCUUGAUAUUUGGGACUACGCUUCUCAAAAUCCAGAGAUCAACAAAUUGUUCAAUGAUGGCAUGGCCUGUACUUCUAGGUUUGAAUUGAAGGAAAUACUCACAGGUUAUGAACAUGGGUUUGAUGGUGUGGGAUCGUUAGUGGAUGUAGGUGGUGGGACUGGAAGUGCAGUGGCUGAGAUUGUCAAGGCCUAUCCCAACAUCAAAGGUUUCAAUUUUGAUCUGCCCCAUGUCGUAGCCACAGCACCGGUGUACCAUGGCGUGUCACAUGUAGGUGGUGAUAUGUUUGAGGGCAAUAUUCCAAAUGCGGAUGCAGUUUUCAUGAAGGUAAUUCUCUUUUACAUUCCAGUUAUGGUAUGAUUGUAGCCUUGUAGGUAUGGAUUUCUUUCCUUUUGUCACCUUCAAGGGGACGACCUCGUAGUUUUUGGUUUGUGAAGAAACGUUGUUAGUUAGAGAUAGUAUUCUUGCCUAAAAUUGAAAUGACACUAAUUAAUUUUUUAUUAAUGUAGCGUAUUAUGCACGAUUGGAGUGAUAGUGAUUGCAUCAAGAUUUUGAAGAAUUGUCGAAAAGCAAUACCCGAGAAAAGUGGCAAGAUCAUUAUUGCUGAUAUAGUUCUAGAGCCAAAUGGUGAAGGGACUCUGAAUGACACACGAUUGGUCAUUGAUUUAGUGAUGAUUGCACACACGUCAGGAAGGGAGAGAACCGAGAAUGAAUGGAAGAAGAUAUUGGAAGAAGGAGGUUUCCCUCGCCACAAAGUCAUCAAAAUUCCAGCUUUAGUAUCCAUUGUUGAGGCCUACCCUAUGUGAACUAAAUUCCAGUAUCAUGCAAAUGUUGUAGUUAUUAUGUAUUGUCAAUAAAACGAUCCUCAAUCGUAGUGAUUCAAGCUGGCUUAAGUCCUUGCGGUACUUCCAUUAGAAACUAACACCAUUCAUUCGAAUAAUUGCAAAACCCGACAAACCCAUGACUACUAAUUAAUUAAACUGGUUCAAUCUUGAUCAUCCAAUACUCUUCAAAAUCCUUGGCUUCGUAUGGAAUCCUCAAAAACCCAUCGUUGCAAACCCUUAUACCUCAGCUGAUCUAUAUAGCAGCUGCAAGAACUUUUCAUGAAGGAGCAACUUGGUAUGAACCAUGAAACGUCCACACCAACACAAACAGGCACGUAACCUUUCGGUGUUGUAGAAAGAGAACUUUCAGUCUUUUCGCUCCUAUUAACUAGCUCAACUUGCCGCUUCUUCUCACCCCCAUUAGCAAAAAGCAAAGCACUCUCUUCAUCUGUAAUUCUGGAUUAGUACUUCAAUUCAUUUUAAGUACAUGGUACUUCCUCAGUACAAAUUGAAGGCCGUGCUAUCUUCGUACUCUCUGCUUGCCGAUUAGAUGUUGGUUAAUUAACGAUGUUUUUUAAGUCAAUAACUUAAUGAUUGUGGCAUGCAUCUUAAUUUACAUGCCAUUAAUCUAAUGGUAAAUUGUCAGGUACAUAUAUAGUCUUUGUGAGCAGGCAACAUGGGUGACUACAAAGUUGAAAAUAGAUUUAAAUAUGAAUAAACUGCCGAUUUUCCUGAACUUUCACCUAACUUUCGAUUUACCCUCUAAACUUUUAAAUUGGAAAAUCAAGGAGUUAAAUUAAUUUUUUUGGCCAAUUUCCCCCUUAUGGUUAGUUUUCCAUAGAUUCCAUCCAAAUUAACAUUCACUCUUAUACGUGCAUGCCACGUGACUGUCCUUUGAGAACAAAAAAGUCACUUCGCUAGACCUUCAGACACAAAAAGUAAAGAAAAUAGAAUCACACAAAUUUGCACAGGUUCAUUAAGUUAAGCAUGCAGUUCUAGCUUUGGUCACUUUUAGGUUCUUAAAGUUAUGUACUUUGCUGUUAUCCACCUAACUGGACUUCCAAUAAGGAAAGGUAAUUGUUCUUGAAUCUUCCUCGUCUCCUCAUAUACUUGCAGAAGAACCAAGGUGUCUUCCAGGAAUAAAUUUCGUGAAACCAUUAGGAGGUAAAUUACAUCUCAGACAAGGUUAUGCUCAAAUGUCUUCUGUUUGGUUACAGAUCAAAUGUCUUAAGAGUUAGAGAACUGUUAAAAAACAACACAGGUUGCUGAUAUCGACCCUCAUGAAUUAUGAGUUGCUUGCAGAAGAUGAAGCCGCCUUUGAUGUACUGUAUUGUACAGCUUUCGAAAUGGUUGAUGCUCAGUGGCUCGCAAUGACUGCGUCCUACAUGCAGUUUAAUGUAACUCUCUCGCUUUACGUAUGCACAUACACAAACAUGCACAUUACCACGAGCAUGCGCACACAACUUUCUAAUGUUCGAAUUCCUCAGAAAUCAUGCCUAGCAAUUUCAACACUUCUCAAAUAUUAGAAAAUUGUAUUUGAUACCUAGAAUUCUACAUAUUAUCCUCGGCUGUAAUAACUACUUAACAAGAUAUACUUCAACUAUCCCGUACUAACUAGAACGUGCGAACCUCAUCUAUUUCUUUUUCAAUGCGCCCUUAAGUUAAUGCUGGUUUAUAUUUGUUCACUCGUUUCUUAGCUUAUCUUUGAUGACACACCUUCCUGAUGAUUUCAAACUCUGAACUAUUAUAGUUGAGCAUUCAUUGCAUCACAGCUUCUUGUUUAACAUAGGCCAAAUUUGCUUGUUUGUUUGAUGAGCUCUCCAAUAACUAACCCUUAAUUUUUUGCUUUCAAUCCUUCAGGAGGUUCUACAAGCAACAAGGACGCAGUUGGGAAGGGAGUUGUCUUUAGAAGAUACUCAAAGAAUAUAUGAUUUACCAGCUUACAAUCUAUUGUACCAGUAGCUAGCUUUAGAGGUAGUACAAAAUCCCCUUGAAAACUUGCUUGAAUAGUUGCUAGAUAGGAAUGAAUAAUGAUGAUCAAACCAAGAUUGCAAUGAUUGAGUAUCUAUAAUUAUUGUUGGAGAAAUUUUGUAAUGCUUCAAGCUGCGCAAUAACUACGUUAUCUUUCAAACUCUAUUCACCCCUCGUCUAAUGUUAAAGCGAAUAUUCAAAGAAGUUAUGUGGGUACAAUGAAACCCAACCUACCAGUAUGUGUUAACGAUGUUUGUUUGUCAAAGUUUUACUCUUAAGAUAAACCAAACACAGUGAGAGAGACAAGAAUAUUCAAGACUUAACUAAAAACCUAAUGCUGCAUAGUUUAAUUUCUUGAGCCUUAAAUGUAAUAACAAUAUUUAGAUGGAACAUGCAUUUUGCUAGAAGUCUAGACAUAUUAAAAGAAAUAAUGGAUUUGAUUGUCUUCAAAUCUUAUGUAGUCUACCUCUAUGUAUACAUCUCUUAGAAUGGUGUUGUACUUACCACUUGGUUUUGGACACAAUUCUUGAUCAAGAUCUUGUUCUGGAAAACACUACGGCCAUUUCCUUGAUAUGUCAAUUUUACUGAACAAAAGUAAUCUUUGCAUCUGUCAAUGUAUGCAGGAUAAUUAUGUUGCCUCGAUCUUGUCAAUGAAAGGUGAGCUGCUCAUACAAGAUACGUCUUUUCUUAGUGCUAUGUCAAUGGUCUUGAUGUGCUGAAAUUCGCGCAAUUACUCUGCUACGAGUCUUUGUACUUCAUCCUGGAUUCCUAUAUUGAGGUAGCGGAGCCUCCGACUACCUCUGGUGUUGACUUGCAUGUAUGUACUAUUCUUCUACUUGUCAUCCUCUUUGUGUCAUGGUUGCGGUGUUCAUGCUUCAUCUCUGGCUGGUAAGCAAGCUGCUCGCGGUAUCGCUUGGCGUGGGCUGCCAAUUGAACUCGAGUUGGAAUGUUCUCGUGUUUUCCUUUGUUCAUCGUGUUACCUGCUCUGGUGCUUGAUAGGAGAAACUUUUUGCGGGCCUAACCGUGAAUGGACGUUUUACCUGAAAUGUCUGGAAUGCUUGUUGUGUGAACCCAACCGUGAAUGUACAUUAAACUCAAGGGCUAAAUCAAGAGUGUACACUGCCAUAACGCUCGAUUUGUGGCUAGUCAAGUGGUUAUUUGUUAGGAUGUCGCUAGAAAAAGUUAUGAUGAUCUGCCUUAUUCUGCUUUGGGAUACCUCGCUUGGGCGAGCUACAUCUCGAUGUGUUUCAGGAGCUAGUUCACCAUAGUCGUCUACUGCGUGAGGGUGCUAGUUAGGUCGGCGACCUACCAAGACAAGUGUUGUUCGCCAUUUGGGAUGAACGAGCUCGGAUGAUGGGCAUCUCCGUAAGUGGUGGAAGUGUAAUGAGUUACAGGUGAAAAACUCAGGCCUGGAUAAGGCAAACUUAUGGAUAAAAUGGCAAAAAUACCUUGGUCCAGUCACAUGUCCAAAAAUCAGUUCUCUCAGCCUCAGUCAGAACCAGUCUGGUGACUUGGAGCCUUGUCAACUAAACUGGUCGGUUCCACUUAUCUCGUCUAGUCAUGGGCUAGAACUCAUUGAGCUUGCACAUGGGUCGCCUACCCGUGGGCUUAGAGCGUCUGUGUUAUUGCUCACUGGGCUUGGGUCGCUUGGGCUACAUGGUUCCCAACUGUUGCAGUGGACUGGGUCUCCAGCCCAUAACUCCCAUAAGCCUUUUGCCUUAGGCUUUAUGUUCCAUGGACCUAAGCCUCAUGUUCAGGGUUUGUGGUUACGCUGUUCUAGGCUUAGGCCUCAGCUGCUCAGCUUACAAUAGGGGCUGCCACGACAUGGGCCUUCUACCCGUGGUUUAUGAAUGCAAUUGCAGCGUGGAUUGUUGCUUGGUGGACGCGUGGUGGUUAUUAGGCAGUGGCCACAAUUGAGGUGGUGGUGCUCUGCAGCAGUAUGGCUCUUCCUACCAUUGUGUUGUGCCUUGAGGAUCGUCAACAUGGGGCCGCAUCUUGGUCUAUGUUCUCCGACCCAAAUACUUAAACAUAGGGCAUUCCAUUCGUCGUGGUUCUGAAAUUUUCUACCAUUGUAUCCUUUCUCUAGGGACUAAUCAAGAAACUUUUCUUUGAAAAUUAAAUGAUACUGCGUGUGAGAAAUUCUAUAUAACAAAAUAUGCCAAAAUUAAUUGCGAGAGUCUUCUUCGAGUGUUUGAAUCAAGCUAUCAAUGAAACACCAAUUUGUGGUAGCAAAAAUCAACUGUCUUUAGUCUUGACGAAUUUGUACCUACAAAACAAUCAACAUCCUUGAUCAAAGACCAAAGCCUCAUGCGCCCAAGAGGUGGGGGGUUGGGAGGGGAGGGGAGUUUGGCCAAUGGAUCUCCGAUGCUUAAGUUAGUUUCUAUGAAAAGAGUGAGUGUUUAAGGCUUGUAUGCGUAGCAAAAAGCUUACCAAAAUUUGGUGGAGAUUGAGGUAUUUAUAGGAGGAGGUGGCUGGCCAAGGGGUCAGGGUCUUGCCCUUCACAUGGUAGCAUCCUACUGGCCAAGAUGUGUUAUCCGUUGGAUGGAUGAGAAAAGAAUAUUCUCAAAAUAUUAAUUAAGAGAAAAUAUCUUGGAAUAAUGGUGGAAGUAUCCCUAAUUCAUUGUGAAAAUGAUUCUUUGCUUGAUUUAGUUGAUCUUCAAUUGGGAAUGUAUUAAAGAUAGGAUUUAGUAAUUAACCCUAUCCUUAAUACCUUUGAUUUUUUCAUGUCAUAGUCAGCUGCUUAGAUGUCACAUCCCAGGCUCGACUCCACCGUAGCACUAUAUUUAUCCGUUUUGGGCCUCGACCACGCCCUCACAGUUUUGUUUCUGGGAACUCACACGAGAACUUCCUAGUAGGUCACCCAUCAUGGGAUUGCCCUCGCGCGAACUUGCUUAACUUCGGAGUUCCAAUAGAACAUGAAGCCAGUGAGCUCCCAAAAGGCCUCGUGCUAGGUAGAGAUGGGAAUAUACAUAUAAGGCUUACAUGAUGUACGCCCCUAGGCGAUGUGGGAUGUUACAAUCCACCCCCCCUCAUGGGCCCGACGUCCUUGUCGGCACACUUCCGGCCAGGGAUUGGCUCUGAUACCAAAUUGUCACAUCCCGGCCCGAGCCCCCACCACAUCUGGGCUCGACUCCACCGUAGCACGAUAUUGUCCGCUUUGGACCCCGACCAAGCCCUCACGGUUUUGUUUCUGGGAACUCACACAAGAACUUCCCAAUGGGUUACCCAUCAUGGGAUUGCUCUCGCACGAACGCGCUUAACUUCAGAGUUCCGAUGGAACUCGAAGCCAGUGAGCUCCCAAAAUGCUUCGUGCUAGGUUGAGAUGAGAAUAUACAUAUAAGGCUUACAUGAUCUACUCCCCUGGGCGAUGUGGGAUAUUACAUUAAACGCUCAGGGAUGUUGAGCUGUGUGUGAGAACAGUGGAAGGUCCUACCCAUUUAAUGAAGGCAAUAUUGUCUUUCUUGAGAAAAAAAAAAUUAAGGUGUCGUAUUCUGAUUUUCUGAGAUUAUUUAUGUAAUUGUUGUUCAUCGAAUUUCUUAGAUCCAAACUAAAAUAAUAACAUCCCUUUCAUAUGCUUUCCUAAUACAUAUAGAUAUAUUGACUUCACAUUUCAGAAAUUCUUCCUGAUCCCGAUCUAUUUGAAAAUAGUUAUAAUUCAUUUAUCAUGUUUACACAUACAUAAGAGCUUAUGUCCGAAGGAACCCACAUAUUAUAUCAUAUUUUACUAAAUAGAUAUCCGUGUUAUGAUCCAAGUAUGAUUUUGAAUUGGGCUAUUUACUAAAAUGUGCAAUAUUAAACAGUAAUCUAUUGUAAACUUAGUCAUAUUGAUUAGAGUAACGUAAUCCUUUAUUGCACUUAAGUUUAAAUCCUUUUGUCCGUAAUAAAGAUAAAUUUAAUAUAAAUUAUCACAUUAUUUCUUAACCAAAUAAAAGUAAAUUUGUCGGCUAGUUAGUGCAUGUGCAUUAGGAGGUUGAUUAAUCCACACGUUCAACAUAUUUCCAAUAAUUAAUUGAUUCCUUCAACUUUAACUGCUACCUGCUACACCGACUGAGUACUAGACUUUACCAAAAGGUUUCAACAUUAUUGAGAUUAUAUAAUAUUCCCUUCGUUAUAUAACUCGUGUAAUUAGCACCUCUUUCAAAAGUAAUCUAUAGAUUGAAAUGUAGGAAGCAACAGAAAUUGAGGCAAGCCUAAGAGGCCAAGCAGAUAUAUGGAAGUACAUGUUUGGUUUUGCUGAUUCCAUGGCCUUAAAAUGUGCUGUGGAGCUAUGCAUUGCCGAUAUCAUACACUCCCAUAGUCCUACUGAGCCUAUGAUCACUUUGUCCCAAUUAGCCUCAUCCAUAGCACCUUCUCCAGACAUGACGUACCUCACAAUCAUCAUGAGACUUCUUGUCUGUCAGAAUAUAUUUGCCAUUCAUCACCCAUCUGAUGGUGGGGAACCACUUUAUGGGUUGACACACUCAUCAAGAUAGUUGUUACAUGACACAGAGUUGAGCUUGGCCCCAAUGAUAAUGAAUUUUUAGUUGAGAGACCAUUGCUCUAAUUGAGUUAAAGUUAAGAAAUCAUUGCUAAAAUUUAAUCAAAGUAUUACAGGUGACGUGAUGAUACGGUACUAUCUAAUGAUUUCUUCAGAUGCUUUUGGGUUCAUCGAAGAGGAAGAGAAAAAACUGAGGUAGAAAAAGAAAAUAUAAAUUUUAAUUGCAACAUUACUUGCUCCACCAAUUGAAUAUUACACUUUACCAAAAGGUUUCAGCAUUAUUGAGAUUAUAUAAUAUGUUUUUUCCCUUAUCCAUAUAACUCGUAUACAUCAUUGAGAUUAUAUAAUAUAUGUUUCCCUUCUUUAUAUAACUCGUGUAAUUAGCACAUUUUUCAAAAGCACUCUAUAGAUGGAAAUGCAGGAAGCAACAGAAGUUGAGGCAAGCCUAAGAGGCCAAGCAGAUAUAUGGAAGUACAUGUUUGGUUUUGCUGAUUCCAUGGCCUUAAAAUGUGCUGUCGAACUACGCAUUGCCGAUAUCAUACACUCUCAUAGUCCUACUGAUGGUGCCUCAAACUCAAGGCCUAUGAUCACUUUGUCCCAAUUAGCCUCAUCCAUAGCACCCUCCCCAGACAUGACGUACCUCACACGCAUCAUGAGACUUCUUGUCCGCCGGAAUAUAUUUGCCAUUCAUCACUCAUCUGAUGGCGAGGAACCACUUUAUGGGUUGACACACUCAUCAAGAUGGUUGUUACAUAAUACAGAGCUGAGCCUAGCCCCAAUGCUUGUGAUGGAGAAUCACCCUUGCCUAAUGGCCCCUUGGCACUAUUUCAGCCAAUGCGUCAAAGAAGGAGGUCCAUAUGCCUUUAAGAUGGCCCAUGGACUUGAGAUUUGGGACUAUGCGUCCCAAAAUCCAGAGUUCAACAAAUUGUUCAACGAUGGUAUGGCCUGUACUGCUAGGGUUGUGAUGAAGGCAAUACUCACAGGUUAUGAACAUGGGUUUGAUGGUGUGGGAUCGUUAGUGGAUGUAGGUGGUGGGACUGGAAGUGCAGUGGCUGAGAUUGUCAAGUCCUAUCCCAACAUCAAAGGUUUCAAUUUUGAUCUGCCCCAUGUCGUAGCCACAGCACCGGUGUACCAUGGUGUGUCACAUGUAGGUGGUGAUAUGUUUGAGGGCAGUAUUCCAAAUGCUGAUGCAGUUUUCAUGAAGGUAAGUCACCAUAAAAUCUUUUACAUUCCAGUUAUAUGGUUUGGUUGUAGCCUUGUAGGUAUAAAUUUCUUUCCUUUUGUCACCUUGGAAGGGGUGAUCUCGUAGCUCUUGGUUUUGAAGAAACGUUGUUAGUUAGACAUAGUAUUAUUUGUUAAAUUUGAAAUGACGAACUAAUUAACUUUUGAUUAAUGUAGUGGAUUAUGCAUGAUUGGAGUGACAGUGAUUGCAUCAAGAUUUUAAAGAAUUGUCGAAAAGCAAUACCCGAAAAAAGUGGGAAGAUCAUUAUUGUUGAUAUAGUUCUAGAGCCAAAUGGUGAAGGGAUUCUGGAUGACACACGAUUGGUCUUUGAUUUAUUGAUGAUUGCACACACGUCAGGUGGAAGAGAGAGGACUGAGACUGAAUGGAAGAAUAUAUUGGAAGAAGGAGGUUUCCCUCGCUACAAAGUCAUCAAAAUUCCAGCUUUAGCAUCCAUUGUUGAGGCCUACCCUAUGUAAACUAAAGUACAUUAUCAUGCAGAUGUUUUAGAUAUUAUGUAAUGCCAAUAAAACGGUGCUUAAUCAUAAUGUCAAUAAAACGGUGCUCAAUCAUAGCAUUCCCAUUAUGAGGGGUUAGGUUUAUAUCUUCCUGACUAGGUAUAACUUCUUUUUUGUUAUCAAUAAAAUUACUUUGUACCGUCGAGGUUUUCUUUGAAAAAUAAAAAACACUUCCAUUGGACCCAACUAAGAUCAUUUAUUCAAAUAAUUACAUCAUACAGUUUACUUACCGGCAAACCCGUGACAAAUAAUUAAUUAAACUGGUUCAACCCUGUAAAUAUUAGGUUUGGGCAUCUUGAUCAUCCAAUACUCUUCAAAAUCCCUGGCUUCGUAUGGAAUCCUCAAAACCCCAUCAUUGCAAAACCCAUAUUCCUCAGCUGAUCUAUAUAGCAGUUUCAAGAACUCUGCAUGACGGAGCAACUUGGUAUGAAUCAUGAAACGCUUAGUAUCACCAUCCACACCAACACAAACAGGCACGUAACGUUUCGGUGUUGUAGAAGGAGAACUUUUCAGUCUUUUCGCUCCUAUUAACUAGCUCAAUUUACUGCUUCUUCUCACCCCCAUUAGCAAAUAGUAAAGCACUCUCUUCAUCUGCAAUUCUGGAUUAGUACUUCAAAAAUUUUUGGUAGCGAUAAGUAUAAUUCAUUUCGGUACGUAAUUCCUCAGUACAAAUUUAAAUUUAAGGCCGUGCUAUCUUCGUAUACUAUCUCCGUACCGAUUAGAUGUUGGUUAGUUAACGAUGUUUUUAAAGUCAAUAACUUAAAUGAUUGUGACAUGCAUCUUAAUUUACAUGUCAUAAAUAAAAUGGUAAAUUACGAGGUACAAAUAGUCUUCGUAAGGACGCAACAUGCCAUGACUACAAAGUUGAAAAUAGAUUUAAAUAUUUUAUUUCUCCGGCUACUACUAUUUUACGUUGUGAUUGUCACAUUAUUCGUGUUUUAAAUAUGCCCUAUUCAUUACCACAAAAUUUUACAAUAGUUAAUGACGUUAGUUGCACAUAAUGUGGUGUCUAAUGUGGGUAUUAGCCACCAGUAUACUUUUCAUACAGCUCAUUAGUUACCAAUAGAUCUUUUAUUCACCCCAUUAUGUGCAACUAACGACGAUAAUUAUUGCCAAUUUUUCUAGUAAUUAGAACAUAUUAUGUCUCUGUCAUUUGAGUUUACCUGAAACCUAUGAAUUCGAUGAGAUGACUUUAAAUUCAACCUUGCCAUCUAGGAAUUUCGAAAGCUAGAUAAUAAUCUUCCAAGGUGUAUAAUUAUGUAUUUAACUACAAGUGAAUAUAAAUAAUCGAGUCUGUUUCCUUUAAUUUGGUCACAUAAGCUACUUCCCUAUCUUUGACCCAUGGUUAUAAUUCUGGCUAGCUUGUGGCUGCACCAUUAAUGAAUUACUUAAAAAAAAAAAAAAUGGUGCCGUACGUCAUCGACCACUGCCUCGGCGACAAUGCCUCCUUAUUACCAGCAGCAGCUCAACCAGAUCAGCAUCAUCAUCAUCAUCAUCAUCUAAGAGACAACGUUCGCCGUUCUACUAAUUCUUCGCAUGUUUACUAUUUUGCCCAGUAAUAAUACACAAGAAGAGGAAGAGGAUUAUGCGGAAGCCACGAGGCUGCUUGAAGGAUGAGAAAUCGGGUUGAACCUAGCAUCUUUUUUUUUUUUUUUUGUCCAAAUGAAAACUUCGUUAAAGACCCGAAAAGGGACAGCAAGUGCAAAUAAAGGCUAUGAUAGCCCAAAGGCAAACCGAAAAUAAAAAAGAGAGUGCAGUCGAUACAAACUAGGCAGUAGCGAAAUACGGUUUAUACAAUCAGACAAAUACUACUGAACACUACUCAAGUGAAACAAAAGAGGAAGAGGCUAAUAGUGAUUCCACUAUCAGACAUCAAUCAAAAGAUGACGGAGGACAUGGAAGCCCAUCCGAGAUAGCACCAUAACCAUUGAGGGAGGGGGCAAAGUUGCCCAUGAGAGAUUAUGUUUCUAUAAACUAAGCCUAAUCCCGAAGGUAUUUUUUUCCAACUACUUUAGUAAAAUAAUUAGUACAAAAUAACUAGGACAACUCAUAAUUUGUGUGAAAAUAAUAUCAUGACAGGUCACAGUUUUAGUGAAAAGUUCAAUCGAUGAGUUUUAGCAAGAUCUUUUAAGUGCCUUCUAAAAAAAAGGUUAUUAGGAAUUCGGAAAUGGUCUUACAAUUCAUUAUGUGACAUAAGUAAUAAAAAGUUUCUCAUGAUUCUUGUACAUUUUCUCAAAACCAAUUAAAAAAUGGUGACUUGUAGCUCACAAUUUUUGUGAAAAGAUCGACGGUUAAAUUAUAGUUAAAUCUUUUGAUCGUAGCAAGAAAAAUGUUGUUAUCUAGAGUAAAUAUCAUAUCGAAAAAUUAAUGGACCUUACAUGUACUUAUAUGAGUAAACCCAAUAGUUGAGCACGCUUUAUUGAGCCAUAUAAAUAUUCUUCACUAAAAUUUUAACCUAAAUAACAGAAAAAUAAAUAAAAAUUACUAGUUCUGGCUCCGCUAUGACUCAAUAAAUAAUAAGAAUCGGUAACAAAUAACCUAGUUAUAAUAUUUCCUUACUAUUGAUGCAAAAGAUCUUGCAAAAAUUAGAUAGAUGAUCUAGAAACUUAUGUAAAUCAAUAAAAUGAUGCAGCACGAAGUUAACAUGAGAUACCAACGUAAGUCCUUAAAGAACAAAUUCUAGAAUCCACUAUAGAUUUUGGUUGAAAAUUUAAAAUUUUGUUUGAUUAUUGAUUGAAAGACGACAAUACAAUGAAGCCAACAGCUUUAACAACAUAAUCAAAAUGCAAGCUCAAGGGCCUUAGGGAAUUGAACGAAAUCAAAACGAUAUUAAUCGAAUGGCAAACGAAAAGUCCAAUUUUUAUUACAAAAAUUAAAAAACUAUUUUGGAAGCCUAGACGACCGUAGAUGGCCGAAAUCUAUAGUAUUAUCAUAGCAAAGCAAUGUGUUUGAACCGUGGAGUCGUUAUCUUUUCUGAAAAGUAUCAUGGGCCCAAAUCGAAGCUUGGACGCCAAAUUUGCAAAUUCCUGCUACGUUCUUUUGACUUCCAUGGGUCCAUUGCGUCUUCUAUCCUCUCAGUCAUCUGUUUUAUAUCAUAAAAUACUUAUUUGAUUAAUUUUAUUCUUACGAAUAUAUAUAUAUAUAUAUAUAUAUAUAUAUAUAUAUAUAUAUGUGUGUGUCUGUGUGUGUGUGUGAACUUCAAAUAAAUAUCUGGAGUGAUCCUUUUGUGUGGUAGUAAAAGGACAAAUAAUCAUAUGUAGGACAGCAGAAAGAUGUUAGCAAUACAAGAAAAAGACCCAAAAAACAAAACAAAAGCAAAAACAAAAACAACCAAGCCUGCGCAAUGCGCAAUAUUCCCAUACACAACAUGUUCUUAAAAGAUUGCUUAAUAUAUUUAUAACUUCUUUGGGAUAAACACACUAGAAAGGGACGUUGGACAAACCGGCCUCUAACAAGGCAUUACCAUCUCUACCUAUAUAUAUGGCUUUACACUCUCAACAAAUCAUCAACCAACACUAAACAGAGUUAGCUUCUUACUAAAACUAAUUACAAUCACAUAUGAAGCAAUAAUGGCUGUGAUUAUCUCUAACAAAAAAGCAGCCAUGUCCCGUAAUUUGGUUCUCUUGUUCUGCCUUCUUCUCAUCAUCUCCUUUGCUGAGGGAAAACAACUAGGCAGCAGUAAGCUUUACAAGAUUAGAAUUGUAAUUAUCUAGUUAUAGACGAUUAUCAUUUCGGUUUGUAUGAAAUCAAUGUUUUGCUGAAUUUCAUUUUUUAUGUAUACGUUGGAUACUAAUACGUUGCCUUUUGUGUUUUAACUUUUCUUUUUUCUUUCUUUUGAAUAUUUGAUUGUGUAGUUGGGUUUGGGGGCCUGAAAGCAGCUCCAAGAGCCCCAAGAUGCCAAAAGGUAUAUGGGGCAAAACUUGGGGAUACUUGUGAUGGAAUCAUUCAGAAGUUCAAACUGAAUGCUGCUCACUUCUCUGAAAUCAACCCUAACCUCAACCGUGACAGUAUCUUUGUGGGUCAAUGGCUUUGCAUUGUUGGCACUACAAAAUAAACUGCAGACUGAAGGAGGAAAGUUUGAGUUGAAGCAGAGAAAAUAAAUGCAUGAAUAAAAGAGCACUAACAAGCAUCAGUGUUCGUUCCAAUUUCCACUUUGCUUUAAUAGUUUUUACAUUGUUGUAAAAAAAAAAAAAAAAAAAAAUUUCACAUUGUUGAAUCCUGGUGUUUAUGCUGAAUUUUCUCUUUUGCUUUUUUUCUUUUAAUAAUUUUUAAUACUGGAUUUGUUGAAAUGGCAAUAUUAUACUUCAAUUUAAUUAAAUUAUAUCAAAGAGAAUUCAUACUCGAGCGCUGUCAAUAUGGCUACACACAUCUAUUAAUUGAAUAUUAUCGUUUCCUUUUAAAUAAACUAUGGGAAUUUAAAAGUGUUACAUGGGAGUCCUGAUCUUCGUCUAUUCAUUCGAUCCAACGGUCAAAAAUUAAAAAUGGUGUGUGAGAGGUAAAAAUUGAUGCGUAAAUAGCACCACUCUUUAGAAAAUACAACAUUCAUUAAGAAUAAAUAAGUCAAAUGAUUUUUUAAUUGCACCUCUUUUGAUGAUAACUUUUAAAAAAUAUAAAACUAGUUUGAUCCCAAUACUUUAGGGUGCAUUUUUGCUCACCUACAUUAACUUUGGUGUAUGCUCACCAUACACUUGCCAUGUGCAUCAUCUCCUAACUAUAGUUAACAUUUUUAUUAAAUGUUCUUUUUAUUUUUUAACAGUGAUUUAAAACUGAGAUUAAACAAAAAUAAAAUAACUCCGGCGCUUCAAAUUUCCCACCCAACCAACCCGAAAAACACCUACCCACGUCGCCGCAAGUGAUCAGAUCUCAGUCUUGCCGCCGGAAAAACCAUAUGUUCACUCUCUCUCUCUCUCUCUCUCUCUCUCUCUCUCUCUCUCUCUCUCUCUUCUUCACCCUUAUGCCGUCUCUCUCAUCUCUAUUCAGUACCGGUCCUCCAAGGCAGCUACUCAUUUUGGCUAACCUAUGGUCCGGUGAGUUCGAGAACGAGUUAUCCGCGUCGUACACAUCACUCACCACUGAUGCAGUAAUCUAUGUUUUGAAGAAAUUGGAUAAAGACCCAUGAAAGGGUUUGGAUUUUUUCAAUUAGGCAUGUGAGAAAAAAUGGAUUUAGUUGAGUUCUUCGGUGGGUCUUUAUCCAUUGAUGUGCAGUACUCAUGUUUUGAAGAAAUUGGAUAAACACCCAUGAAAGACUUUGGAUCGAUCUGAGGCAAAUGAGAGAGAAGGGAUUUUCCAUUGAUGUGCAAACGUCUAUGGUAAUUAUAGAGCAGUUGAAAAAGGGCUUUUCCAUUUCAAGCAUUUUUAUGAUAGGAUGAUCGAAGAUAAUGGGACGAAUGAUAUUGUUAAGAGCAUGGUAGAUGUUGUUUCGGGGUAAGAGUGGAGUGAUAGGUUGAAAAGGAUUAAGGAAUUGGGUUGAAAUUGGUAGCCGGCGGCGGUGGCGUCGCGGCUACCUGUUUGUCAGGGUUGGCAUGGUUGGGUAGAGUAACUAUUUUGUUUGUAUUUAUUUUUGUUUUUAUUUAAUCACUAUUUAAAUCACUAUUAAAAAAAUAAAAAGAACAUUUAAUAAAGAUGUUAACUAUAGUUAAGAGAUGAGACACGUGGCAAACAAGAAUUUGUACGAUGAGCAUACACCAAAGUUAAUGUGGGUGAGCAAAAUGCAUUCCAAUACUUUACAAAGAUUUUACCUGUAUAUAAUGAAGCGAUUAAAAUACUUUGCAUGCAAUAAGUGAUUUGGCUGUACAAUUAUAUUGUUUGAAUAUAGUGGAAUUCUCGAAAGAAACUGUGAAAUUCUCAGUGCACAUAAGGGCAAAGUUUGAUAACUUUCUUUGUGUGUGUUGAUCAUUGGUAAGGGUAGACAUUAGGAGGUUCGGUUCGGGUUGAGUCACAGCCCGCUACUCAAUUUAUUAGGCUCGGGUAGCCUUUAUCAAGGGUUUAAAUAUGCUGGGCUUAACCCACUAGCUAUUUAUCAAUUCCUUAGGACCAAGUCCACACGCCAAAUAUAAGAUCACAAAAUCAAGAGCCAAUUCAGGGAGCAAUGUCUGCAACUAUCGAUCACAAGAUCAAGAGCCAUCUUUUGGAAACCAUGAUUUAAUUAUAUAGUAGCUCUCAACCUAUACGUACGAUGCAAAAAAUAAAUAAAUAACUCAACAAUUAUUUGGUUAUUAUGUAAAACUAGCCACAAGAGAAUAAUAACGAAAUAAAAAAUUCUAUAUUCCACGUAAAGAAUUGGGAAGAUACGAGUUGUGAUUAGCUAUUCACUCAAAGUUAUUAGAGUGCUCUAUUAACUUGACUAGUUUAGGAUGUACUUAAUGCGACUUCACAUAUUAAACUCUGAAAAACAUUUACGUACUUAAUUUAGGAUCCAUUACACAAUGAAUAACUUUAAUUUCAUUUUUUGCUUGUACAAGGCUCGUUAUGAAGGUAGGAGUCAUAUAUGGUAUAUGUAAUAUACAUGAAAUUUGAGACAGCAAAUAUAUGGAAAUUCUCAACUUAAUGGUUGUUGUUUCUAGAUCAUGUGGUCUUAAUAUCGAAGGUCUUUUUUGACAAAAAAAAAAUAUCGAAGGUCUUUGAUUUGUAGCUAAAAAAAUUCGUUAGUAGGUAUAAUAUACACUUGGAGAAAAUUUCAAUCAAAUACUUACAAAAACACAGCAACUAUUCAGAAGGAAAGCAUUUGUUUCUUGUUAGACUUUUUUUCUUCACAUAAAUGCUUAUGUCGUCAUUUUUUAAAUUACAAAUUUGAACAGGACUUCAGUGAACUAAUAGUCUAAAUUUACAGUCUGAUAACAUUAACAUAAAGCAUUUUUCUUGAAUUUAUCCAGUUGACAAGGCCAGCUAGGAAAUGGUUUAGAUUUAGUGAUAUUAAGAUUUUGAUCACAUCCAAUGUAUUUAGAAAAAACAGAAGAAGAAGAAGAAGAAGAAGAAGAAGAAGAAAUUAUCUUAGCAUGGCAUGUGGCAAAGCUGUUCUAAUGUCUAAGUGGAUCAUCAGAUUGAAUGAAGUAUAUGAAGUUGCAAUACAGCAAAUCCAUGACCCAUCCAUGAUCAAUGUCUCUAGACCCACAAAACCCAGUGGCAAAUGCUUGCCCAUGAGGGGUGCAAUUUUGAUGUUUUGGUAGUUGGACUCCAAAAGUCCUUGCUAUUUAUAUCAGUUCAUAAAAGUCCUUGCUAUUUAUAUCAGUGCAUACACAACAUGCGACAACAUAUGGUUAGUGGUUGCACUUUUGAGAUAAAAAAACGACGUGACGUUUCUCUUUUUUUUUUUUUCUUUUUUUUUUUUUUUGGAAAACCGUCGUGACGUUUCUUUGUCUAAUAGAUAAGAUGGAGAAAUUUGGGUCUUCCCCACUUUUCAACCAAAGCCACAAGUGGAUCACAUAGUCGGUUGCACUCAAAAAAGGAGUUCUCAGAUUUGUCAAUGGGAUUGUCUUUAGAAACCACUAACAUUCUACAUGUGCCAUGUGUAUAUGUUAGUAUAUUUUAAUAUAAUAAUUGACAUUGGGGUUCCAAUGGGAAAAUGAUCAUCGUCGGUUCUUUUCUUAAGAAUUUUAAGGAUUUUGUAAUCGUGUUCGUUUAUCAUAUAUCGUAUAUCGCAAUCGUGUUCGUUUAUCGUAUUGUCUUUAGAAACCACUAACAUUCUACAUGUUAGUAUAUUUUAAUAUAAUAAUUGACAUUGGGUUCCGAUGGGAAAAGGAUCAUCGUCGGUUUCUUUUCCUAAGGAUUUUAGGGAUCCCGCAAUCGUAUUCGUAUAUCGUACAGUUAAUUUUUUUAUUAGGUAUUAUUUAUAUUUGAAUUUUAAAUUUUAAAUUUUAAAUGAUUUAUGAUCGCACGAUAUACGAUGAACGGACACAAUUGCGAAAUUCCUAAAAAAAUGAAUCGGCAAGGAUCCUUUUCCGUUCCGAUGGAAUGGAAGCUAGAAGUGGGUUUAUAAUAUAUAAUUUUAUAUGCAAAGAAUUAGGUUCUGUGCUGUAUGGAUGACAUGACAUGGGUAAGGCCAUCUCCAACCGAAGGGUCCAGAGGGCCAGAGGGCCGAAAAUAGCCCUAAAACCGUCUCCAACCGAGGGCUAGGCCAGAGGGCUCGGGAAUCUGGGAGGGCCCCACGGGAUCGGAGAGGGCUGGAGGGCUGGAGGGCUGGCUAUUUUUUUUUUAAUGUUUCUUAUUUCUGUCGGUUACAACCGACAGAAAUAACAUUUUGAAUUCAAACUUCCAACGGCUAGCGCCACUAGCCGUUGUAAAUCCUUUUUUUUUUUUUUAUGAAUUUAAACCUUUUUUUUUUCUUUUUUUUUCUAUAACUUCCUAUAACUUCUAUUUUACAAAAUUUGUUUCAAUUUUUUUAAUUCUAUUUUUUUCCUAUAACUUAUAUUUUACAAAAUUUGGUUCAUAUUUUUUUCAUAUAACUUCUAUUUUACAAAAUUUGUUUCAUAUUUUUUUUUUAAAUUCCAUUUUUUCCUAUAACUUCUAUUUCACAAAAUUUGUUUCAUAUUUUUUUUAAAUUCUAAUUUUUUCCUAUAACUUCCUAAGCCAUUAUACAACAUUAAAUUAAAUUAAGUAACAUGAAACAACAUUAAACAAUAUGAAACAACAUUAAAUAACAUUAACCGACAUAAAAAUUAUACAACACUAACCAACAUGAUUUUUAAAUAAAAUUAAGUUGUAGUUUUUAAAUAAUAAAAUUAUGUUUGGCCCUAUGGCCCUUUGGCCCUAUGGCCCUUUGGCCCUCGGUUGGAGACGGUUUUUUUUGACAGGGCUAAAACGAGCCCUCUGGCCCUCUGGCCCUCGGUUGGAGACGGAGGCAAAUAUGGCCCUGUACUGUUCAUUAAAAUAUUAAUAUCUUGGAGAAUCUUGGAGGGCCAGAGAGCUAAAACGAGCCCUCUGGCCAGCCAUCGGUUGGAGAUGGCCUAAGAGACAAGUAAUCGAGCACUAAUGGGAUUCAAUUACACUCAAAACCCCUAAAAUACUCCUACAGUGAGUUAUUCGGAUCUUCCCCAUCUCGAAUGUUCAAAACCAGUCUAUGGAGUCAAGACUAACCUUCAUGCAUUUUAAUUGUGGUUGUGUGCACUAGGUUUACAAACUAAAGAUUUUUUUUUUAAAAUCAUUCGCCAAAGGAUGUCACCAUAGAUAAAAUCGUAGCAUAUGCCUUUAAUUCAUGGGUGCAAAGAUGGACUAUUUCUCCGUGUCAUGUCAGUCAUUCUUGUCUUUAAAAGUUGAAAAUUCAAGAGGGAGAGUGAUAGUUUUACAGCGUGCCAACAUUCCUUUAAAACUUUAAGCUAGUUAGAAUGUUUUGGACUCAAUGCAAUAGGCACUAGCUACCGAGAGUCAUGCCGCGCACCAUUCUCAUAUCUGGUCCCAUAUGUUAAAAGGUAGAAAAUAAAAUGUUAGGGUUUUGUGCAUGAGUAAAUACUUUUACUGACUUAAACUAAAAGCCCCUUUAUAUGAAGUUAGCAUAUAGAAAUUUCACCAAUCACCUAAAAGAGCUUUUGACAAUAACACUUUUGAUACUCUUAACUACUAGCCCAAACAAAUUCUUAAACCUCACCAAAAAUGAAUAUCCCAAUGAUAAUGAUAAUUCUUUGGUAAAUGAUUUUCACGCUAUUUAUUUUUAACAAUCUUUGAACUGAGUAAAUCGAAAAAAAACUCGUUGAACAAUGUUUGUACCAUACUUGACCAAUCCCGAAACUACUGAUCACCGAUCAACGUUAUACCGUCAAGGACUCAGAAGAGUUUCCCUCCAACCAGGAGGCCAAUCACAGCGCAACACGUGUUGACAUCAGAAGCCAAUCAUAGCACGACACGUGUCAACAUCAUAAGCCAAUCACAACACGACACGUGUCAAUGUCAGAAUGAAACUAGAAACUCUCUUCUAUAAAUAGGGAUCAUUCUCUCACAAUAUUUCCUAAUGUCAUUUGUACUAAAUCAUUCACUUGUACUCACUAAAGGAGAGCUUGAACCUAUGUACUUGUGUAAACCCUUCACAAUUAAUGAGAACUCAUCUACUCCGUGGACGUAACCAAUCUGAGUGAACCACGUACAUCUUGUGUUUGCUUCCCUAUCUCUAUUCAUUUACAUACUUAUCCAUACUAGUGACCGGAGCAAUCUAGCGAAUGUCACAAACUUAACACUUUCUGUUGUACCAAAAUCCUCACUGAUUUUGUGCAUCAACAAACACAAUAAAAAAAAAUGAGUGCAAAAGUAGAAAAAUCUGCAUGUCGAACAAUUUUAUAUAUUUAUUUUACACAAUGACACUCACCAUUUCAUUGUGCCACAAAGCAAAAAAGAAAACGAAAGUUGAAAAAUCCGCAUGUUGAUCAAUUUUUUAUGUUUUGACACGAUGACACCCACCAUUUCACUGCGCCACAAUUAGAGCAUGAUUACUGGCAGAGUUAUGCUGACUCUAAUCCCAAAUAUAAUAUAACUUUGUGCAACCAAUCUAACUAAAGCAACAACUUACGUCUUAUGCGGUGGUUCAAUGGACGCGAGCACAUAGAAUGAUAUAGAAUUGCACCAAGUCAAGGACUCUAGGCAACCUUUAAAGCCAUAAAGUGUUUUGGUUGCUUGUUUGGUUUUGGAAUUCCAUGUUUCCAACUAACAGGAUGAACUAGUCAAAUUACACAGAGCUACCCUAAACUAAUAAAGUGAGGUUUUGGUUGAUGCAAGAACCACCAAGGACACUUCUCUUCUCUAUUUUUAUAAUUUAUAUUCACAUUAUCCACAAAAUCCCUCAACAGGUUUAUCCUUCUAGUCGACAGAAGCAUUAUCUCUCUACGUCUAGAGACUCAUCCUUCUUACUUUUCCUUUCUACCAACUUUUUCCAGAGAACAAGUCUAGGGGAGGAUCGCAGCUCGCAGCGGUGUUCUCGUGUCAUAGAAUUCCUACUCAUCCAGUACGUAUCCUGAGCGCGUCAUUAGUAUUAUAAGUAGCGUGGGAUAUGCAUAGUCGUAUGCAACAUUCUCUCCCAAUAUGUUGACAACCCAAUGUGGUCAAGAGAAAUGACCACACGAUAGGGGUAGGCCAAUAUUAAGAGAAAUAUUAAAAUAAAAUUGCAAAGGCAUAGAGCAAUUUCCUCGUCUCCCCAAAGUUCCAUAAACGGUCAAGAGAAUAUAUAAUAAUUUACACAAACCACUUUAAACUCAUGAUUCAAAGAGCCUCUCUCUAACCUCACCCGUCUCUACUACAUACAAAGUCCCAACAAAAGGAGUCAAAGUCAUUCAUCACAUACUCUCAUCUACUGACCUCAAACAUGAGCUCAACACUAAAACACCCUAGCAAAUAACCACA